This 51761-nucleotide long non-coding RNA is filed under the name Olea europaea (common olive). RNAcentral's name for it is "long non-coding RNA (OEUR_LNC000315)". Lineage: Eukaryota; Viridiplantae; Streptophyta; Magnoliopsida; Lamiales; Oleaceae. The record is from RNAcentral.
AAAAUAAAAAAAGGUGGAAAACCAAAAACCACCUAUCCCCUAGGAAAAAAAAAGGUGGAAAAUCACGCUUUAAGGUGUUGUACCUAGAAAUUCAUGGAAAAUCAAUUCUCUGGAAAAUUUUGUCAAUCAAACAGGCCAAAAGUGGAAGUUGGAAUUCGAAUUCCAAGUUCCAUGGAAAAUUUCGUGCAAUCAAACGGGGCCUUAUAGUUUAAUUUUAUCUUUUAUUCCUAUCAUUAUUUAUAGUUAGUUAUUAUCUAUAAGUUCGUUAGUAUCCAGAUUUUAUUUACUUCUUUAAAUACACGUCGUAAGUAUUAUUUUAUAUUCAGUUGAAUUUUGAAUUAAGCUCAAAUUAUUCUCUCUUUCUUGAUAUUUCAUUUUUGAAAUUAAAAAAAAAAUUGAGUUUUUGUGAAGUUUUGUUAGUUCCCAUAAGCUUCCGCCACAUCAAUAUCAUUCCCUUGUUCUAAAAAAAAUAAAAAUAAAAAAUCAACGGCUUGGGGCUUAUGCAAAUCAACGGAUAGGUUUUCUGAAUUUUUGUCCACGUCAAAUUCUUGGAAACUAAACUCGAGAAAUAGUAGAAUUUAGUUCCCAAGUCGAGGAGAUAGCCUUGUGGAUUCAAUAAUGUGAUGAUCAUGAACUAUUAUUUCAAAACUCUUUAAUUUUCAUACUUAUUUUUAACUAUUUAUUUACACAAUAAAAUAUUUUACACAUAAAUUCAAAUAAUUUCCCCACAUUUUAACCACUCAUUUUCAAAAAAUAAAAUAAAAAUAAAUCACUAUUCAAAACUCAAUUUUCUCAAAAAAAAAAAAUGGAUAAAACAGGGGCUAGAUGAGUUUUGUAGAGCCUACGUUCUUUUUCAUGAUGCAUUACUUUCGUAAGGAAGAACGGCAUAGAAAUAGUGGAGCUCGAGAUGAUAGUAGUAAAUUACCACAAAAACUCUGGUAUCCAUAGAAAUACAUGGAACAGAGAGCUCACAAAUUAGAUUGAAUUCAUAUCCAAAUCGUAUGCUAAACAGAGUUUUGCUAUAAAAAAAAAAAAAAAACAAAAACAGGGAGGCUAUCAGCCUCUCUGACUGUGGGUUUCGGUCCCUGUUGUUGUAGUAAAACCCAUGCUAAACAUGUUGUAUUUUUAUUGGCUGAGCCAUAGUUGUGGAUUAGAAAAUUUCGUUUCCAUAAUGACAUGAAGCGCUAAAAAUCAAGUAAUUAUAUUACCAUCACAAUUUUUAUUUCAUACAUCACAUUUUAAUUGCAGUUAAGUUCCUCAAUCUUUGUUCAUUGUAGAUUUGUAGUGAUUAUUUUCUUAACUUUUUUAGGCUAAUUCUUAUCUCCAAUAUUCCAAUUAAUUAGUUCGUCUCAUUCUUGGUGAUAAUUUACGUCAAAAUAUUUCUUUUCAUGCUUUGAAAUGAGAGAAAAAUACUUUUUCUAUUUAUUUAUUUAUUUUUUGAAAAUAUGAUGAAAAAUAAAUCGUUUUACAUCAUUUCAACGAACUUUUGAACAUAAAAUUGUUAUCAAAUACAAAAUAUAAUAACUAAUGAAUAGUUUUGAGAAUAAGAAUGACAUGAAAAAUUGUUAGGAACAUAAGUGAUAAUAAGUAAAGAUUAAAAACAUUAAGUGCACUCAAAAUGUGGUACAAGAAACAAACAUUCUGGUGUUAAUAUAAUUACCCAAAAAUAAAAAAUAAAAAAAUCCUUAUGCUAUUUGAAAUACUUUAUUUUUGUUGAUUGAGUGAAGAAAGCUCGAGGAGAUUAUUUAGGCGUUCUCAAAUUCAGCCUUUCAAAUUAAGCCCCAUUUGACUCUCAUUGAACAAAAACUCUUUAUUUGACUUACUUAUUUUUAAAAAUACAUUUACACAAUAAAAUAUUUUGUACGUAAAUUUAAAAUUUUUCCUACUUUUUAACUAUACAUUUUCCAAAAACCCACUAUUCAAAACAUUAUUUCCCUCCAAUUUCUCUUUAUAAUGACCAUCAAAAAAUGAUUAAGUUAAUUUUACUUUCUAAAUUAAGUUGGGAAAAGGAUUGUGCCAACUAUCGAAACUAGUGAUAUAAGACUCAAAUCGAACUAGUGGGUUUGGACUGAAAACCAACGAAUCGAGACCAGGUCUAAUCCUGUUUGGGUGACUCAUUUACAGAAAGUGAAAAUUACACCACGCUCUACUUUAAAAAUUCAAAAUUCUAAAAUUAGUUCGGAUGUUUUAUUAUUCAAAAAUCAGAAGCUUUGUUAAUUAAUAUAUUCUUAUUAGAUAAAUUUAUUAUUAAAUUAAAUUAAUUUACAAACCAACCCUACCCCCUCUCUCUACAUCUCAUUUUCCUCAAAACUUGUUCUCUCUCUACAUCUCCUUUCUCUCGUCGCUUUAUUUUCUCUCGCUGCCACCAUGAUCGUCUUGACCAUGUCAUAGCCGUCGCCACGACAAAACCAGCGAACGCCACCACCAUAAUUUGAAGCGGCGAUUGAAAUGGAAUUGGCGUCUCAGUAGGCAAAGUUGGUGUCGCGCCUCUGUGGGUGGAGGUGCUGGAUCGCGCGGAUCUAUGCGGCAGAGGUGUAUGUGAUGUGGUUCGUACGAUAAAGCUAGUGGUAGUGGUGGUUCAGUGGGUGGAGAUGGGUUGGUGCGCAUCGAUGGUUUUAAGGUGGUUUUUCCUCCAACCUACUUCUCCAGAGUUUUAGGAUAUGUGAUGAUGGUAGUGGUAUUUUACGGUGGUUUUACAGGGUGGGUGGAAGGUAGGGGCAGUGUCGAUGGUUUUGAGGUUUCUGAGGUGGUAUUUUUCUCCAAUUUGGGUGUGGUGGUCAUGGGUUUUCUGAGGUGGUUUAUUCUCCAAUCUGGGUGCAGUGGUGAUGAGUUGCCUUGGUGCUAGGUGUUGUUGGAGGUUUGGAAUGGUUUUUGUUGGUGGUGCAGGUGGAGGUGUUGUCUGGCACUGUGGAUCUAGUUGCGGGUGGUGGUGCUCGUGGUCGGGGUCGGGGUCGUGGUCGUGGUGAUUGUGUGACCGUGGAUUUGUUGGUGGAGGGUAAGUUGGUCGUGAUGGUCGUAGCGACAAUGGUGGUGGUUUGCAAUGGUUGUGGUAGGAUGGGUUAGGUUGGGGGUGGGGUGGUGGUGGUGGUUUUGACGAUGGCGAUUUUAGUGGUGAUGAGGUUGGUGAUAGUGGUGAGGUGGUGGUCACGAAUGAUUCGCUUGACAGUGACCGUUAAUAAAUGAUAAAUUGUGACUAAAAAAUAACGUGUGACCUAAAAAAUUGUAAAUUUGUGACCAAUAAUUUGAUAAUUUAUGACUGUGUAAUAAGUUAUGACUUAUUAUAUUUUUGAUUUGUGACCGAUUAAUAAAUCGUGACUUAUAAAUUUUUGACUUGUGAUCGAUGAACAAUACUAUGACAUAAAAUUUUUGAACUGUGACCUUAAAUAAUUUGUGACAUAGAAAAAUUUUCAUCUGUGACCAAAAAAACUAUGUUGUUGGGCUAUGUUGAUUGUGGUUGUGACGGAGGUGAUUGUUUAGGCAGUGGUGCUAGCGGUGGUCACAAGUGGGUUUGAGGUGAUUUUUGUGGUAGUUUUUUAAGUUGGUUUGGUAGUCGUGGCGCUGGUGGUCACGUAUGCAUACAACACUUGCGAUCUGGUGCUGCGUGUUUUGGCGAUGCAGGGAUCUGGUCGCGAUCAGGUGAGAGGCGGUAGUUGCGAGGCGUUAUAGUUGCUGCGAGGUCCAAGUCUGGUUGUGUGAUGACGUUAUUUUGCUCGGUUUUUGCAUUUCUGUGUUGUAUGGUGGUCAUGGGUGGCGAUGUGGUGGUAUUUUCUACGAUAGACUGAUUUGUUUAAGGUGGUAGUGGUAGUUCUGGCGACGACGGUGGUGCUGAAGGCAAUGGUGAGAUGUUGGUCACAAGUGUUGGUGGUGGUAGCAAAUUAUUCGGUUAAACUAUAAUCAUUAAAUUGGUUAAUUUGUGACCAAUAAAAAAAUAAAUUGUGACAGAUAAAUAAUGUGUGACCUAAAAUAUUAUUAAUCUGUAACCGAUAAUUUUAUAAUUUGUGACUACAUAAUAGUUGUGACUUAUAAUAUUUGUAAUUUGUCAUCAAUAAAUAAAUCGUGGCUUAUAAAUUUAUUGAUUUGUGAUUGAUGAACAAACUGUGACCUUUAAAAAUUUUGAAUUAUGAUCGUAAAAUAAUUUGUGACAAAAAAUUUUCGAUUUAUAACAUAAAUAUAAUAAGUGACUAAUUAAAUCGUUAAUUUGUGACGUAAUUGUAUAGAUUUGUGACCUAAAUAUAUUCAAUUAAUAAAUUAAUUAAAUCAUAAAUACAUUUUAAUAAAAAUCUAAUUUUGAAAGUUAGAAACUUGUUUUCUUGAUUUGAAAUGUGUGAUACUUAAACUCUUACUCAUGAAAAUUUCCCUUGUAGAAAUGUUCAAUUAACCCAUUCUGAAUUCGUUGAACUGUUUGUUUUUCUGGGCAAUCGCUGGGCCAAUUAUAAGUGAACCGCCAUGCCCAAAGAUGUGGAAAUUAUAGCCGACAUUUAAAGAUUAUUUAAAACUUCAAGUACAAACUUUAAUUAAUCAUAAAUCAGCUUUAUUAUAAUUAAUUAACCUCAACCAUUUAAUGAUUAUUUAAAAAUUCAAGUACAAACUUUAAUUAAUCAUAAAUCAGCUUUAUUAUAAUUAAUUAACCUCAACCAAUCCCCAAUUUCAUUUUCAAACCUAAAUCUCUCUCUCUCUCCCUCUCGACUCUAAACGUAGACACCACUACAGAUUUGCCGGAUCGACGUCGUGGAGUUGAUGUUGUGGUGAAUCUGGUGCGGUGGAUCUAAGCAAUCGUGUGGUGAGAACGAUCAGUGGUAGCGGUGCGAAGGGUGAUGGUGGCGGCGGCGAUGGUAGUAGUACAUCGAUGCAGUUGUGAGACGACAGUGUCAUGAUGUUGUGGAGUCGACGUUUUGGCGAGAUCGACUCCAGUCAGGUGUAUGAGAACAACAAUGAGUGAUAGUGGUGAGUUGGUGCGAUGGAUCUAGGUAGUUGGGCGAUUUGGUGAGAAGGACAGGUGGUAGUAGCCUUGUGUGGUGAUGGCGGUGACGAUGGUGCACCGAUGUGGCUGAUCAAUCUGCUGUACUCUACUAUGCAAUUCAUCCCUUGCCUCCAAAACACGAUCCCUGUCAUUACUGUCAACUACAAAUAUGAUCCCCUAGGUGUUUUCAAAGUAGUGCCCCCAUAAUGUACGAAUCCAUGAAUAGUUCUACUUGAGUUUUGGAAGGGAACCAGUUGUUAUGAGGUAGUGAGAGUGGCGGUGGUCAUGUGUUGUUGGUGUGUUCAGUGGUGGUUUCUGGCGGUGGUGGAGGUAUUAGUGUUGACAGAGGUGAUGUGGGUGGUGUUGGUAAGGUUGUGAGUUGGGUAUUGAAUGUGUGUUUGGUGGUGAUAGUCGUGGUGGUUUCUGGCGACGAAGGUGUUUGUUGGUGGCUAGGUUAUACUUAUUUUUGUUGGCAUUUGAUUUGAUCUGAUGGUGGCGAUUUUGUUAGUGUUGGUGGUGGUGUUAUGGUGGCUGCUAUGGUCACGAUAGUGAUGGUAGUAUGUGAUCAUUAUUUGCUGUAUAUAACCAACCAUUUAAUUAUCUAUGACUAACGAUUUAAUUGUAACUAAACUUUUGAUAAUCUGUGAUCAAAUUAAUUUGAUCGUGAAAUAAUCUGUUACCAAAAAAAUUUUUAUUUGUGACCUUGAAAUAAAUUGUGACUUAUAAAUUUUUUUUUGAUUUUUGACCUCGAAAUAAUUUGUGACUAAUUAAUUUGAUAAUUUGUGACAAAUAAAUAAAUUGUGACAUAUAAUUGUGUAUUUGUGACCAUAAAUUCUAUAAUAGUGACUUUAUUAUAUUUAAUUAAUUAAAUAUAUACUUGAAUUUUGAAUUUCUAAAUUAUUUACCUGAAUUUUGAAUUGAUGUCAAAAAUACACCUGUGUUAUAAAUUUUUCCCGCCAAAGAUCUUCUAUAAAGGCCCAAAAUUUUCACCCUCUCGGCCUCUCUCACAUUAUGUUGUGAAAAAUGGAAAACCUUCAGGAUUUAGCCGUCUCUUGCUGUUCCCUAAGUAUCCAAGACUUCAAUUUCAAGUGGUAUAAGAAGGAAGAAGAAAAUGUAAAUCUAAAAUUUUGAUUCAUUUAUUAUUAUUAUUUUUUUGUUGAAUUUCAAAAUUUCGCCAUUAAUAUAUAUAAGAAGAAGAUUUUUUCGUUGGUUGCCUUUUCCUUUUGCAAAUGUCAUUUCAUAUUUCACCACAAUUCCCUUGUUUUAAUUGUCCCUCUAUUGUAUAUUAUACACAACGAUUGUGGUUUUUAUUUAUUUGCAUGGAUGAAUUUGGAAUAGAUUUUAUUUCUAUAUAUAUAUAUUUUCCACUUUUAUAGUUGGUUCAGUAAUAUGGGUUGACUUUUGCGACAACAAUCUUUACAUUAUAGCUUUAAAUAAAAAAGUUUUCCUCAGUCUGAUUUGAAAUGGUCUGGCAAUUUGCCUGUUGUUACAAGUAGCAUUAGUACAUUACUCUAAUUACUGGCAAUUAUUAGAGAAGGGAGGUUGGGAAUGAAUUUUGGUCAACUGAGCAUCUGUAGCAUUCUUAUCUAUACAAAGCUUUAAAGUUUGAGAGACUUUCUUCUCAUGAAAGUUUGGUCAGUUGGGCAUUUUUAGCACGGUUUCUCUGUCGCAAUUGGUUGACAACAUCAUAUUCAUCCAAUUUAAAAAUUAUUUUUUACAUCAAAGGUUUGAACUUUGACAGCGCAUGGUUGUCAACCAUAUUUGUACAACUAGCUUUAUUGUAUAAACAAAUGUAAAAAUAGAGACUGCUCCAAUGUACAUGCCAAUGCCCUUUACAAGAUGCUUGAUAUAACAAGUAAAUAUUAGAAAUGUAUAUAUCGAUUAAACCAGCGACCAACUAUUGCCAACACUUGGUUAACGCUGGGAUAUUGAAUGUCGGAGCUGAACUAAGGUGGAAACUUGUUGCAUAUGAUUCAUCUUUGAUCACCAAGGUGGAAAGUUGUUGCUUAUGAUUCAUCUAUUGUUGAAUGUCGUCAUACAGAUUAAUAUUUGGUCACCAAAAUAACAUAAAGUUAAUUAAUUAGUGCUAAAAAAUGUUAUAAUUUUACUAUACAAUGAAAAAUAGUUAAUAAUAUAUUUGACAUGAAUUGAUUAGUCGAUUCAAUCAUUGACCCUUUGCAUUGUCCGGGUUUGCGUUUGGGUUAGGUCGAACAAUUGUGAUCGAAACAAUUACAAUCCAAUUUAGAUGAGGAUUUUCAAAUUCUCGAAUUAUUUGAAAACAUAUGUACAUAUAAUUUUAUAGUGGUUUAUAUAGAUUUUUUUUUUAAAUAACUUUUCUCAAUCAUUUUUUUAACAAACAAAUUAAUUUCUUUUUAAGUUGACGAUAUCUAGGCCUCACAGUUUGAAGAUUUCGGCUCAAUUCCAAAAAUAAAUAAAUUAGGAACCGAAAUAAAAAUCGAGAAUUGAUUGGGUCCAAAUUUCCGAACUUGAAUCGUGGGGUACUUGAAUGAAAUCAAAAUUUUAUAUAAUUUUUUUUAUUUAGAAUUUAUAAGCUGAGUAAAAUAAUAUAAAAUCUAAAAAUUCUAAUUUUGGUAAUAAUUUUUCUAAAACUCAAAACUUUAACCUUAAUAAAUCAAGAGUGGUUCCUACUUUUUGCCUCUCAUCUCAUAUCGAAUGGUUGUACUUUUAGAGGUAACUACAUAUUACUAUUUACAGUUUGGACUGUCUAUGAAUAAAAAAGUUCAAGCUAGGUUAUGGCGUAAGUUGAUGAAUCAUUUUGUUCAUUAUUUGCAAUUAAGCUUUACUUUCUUGCAUUGUUUAUAAAUUUUAGUGAUUUUCAUUUUUUUUAAUAAUGCGUGGUAAUUGAGAGCUCGUUUGAGCCCAUUAUAAUGAGAAUGAGAAUGAGAAAUAGAGCCGUUAUGGGUAUCACACCAGAGAUAAAAAUUCAAAAAUGGUGGCUUGAUGUGAUGGAUAACGGUUAUAUUUUUCAUUUUAAUGAGAUAAAAAUGAGGCUCAAACAGGAGCUGAAUUUGAUAUAUUCAUAGCUUAGGCUAUGUUGUACAUUUUUUGUUAUAUUGAGUUUUUGGUUAUCUUCAGAAAUAUUUUUUUUCCUUUUUAUUUAAACAUAGCGAGUUCAAUAUGUGAACGACAAUUGCAAGGAGUUAUUCAUUGAAGUGCUCUGUAGACCUUCAUACUAAUUUGGUGUGAAUUGUUCCAAUAGCCUUAAGCAUACAACUCUAGCUUUUUUACAAGUCUCGCUAGUCCUUUCAAAUGUUGCAGCUCAGCAUCAUGUUUCCACUUACCAUCAAAUGUUGCAGCUCAGCAUCAUGUUUCCACUUACCAUGAAGAAGUCAAGAUAAGCAAGAUAUUGAAGAAGAGAUUUCUGUCUGCUCUCCUCCAGUGUGGCAAGAAGUGGCUCGUUUGAUUUAUUUAUGCCGCUGCUGAUCAUUUUGGAGGUGCAAAUGAAAACCUCCUUAUAUGGAGGAAAUGGUUCAAGAGCUUGAACAGUUGUUCAAUGAUCCCAGAAAUAAGGUGAAGAAGAGAGUGAUACUCAAAAUAUAUUUUAUGGUUAUUUUUAAGGGUAAAUAUUUUAGUUCCAUUUUGCAUAUGAUUAAUUUUACAUUGUUAUAUUUUUUAAUUUUCUUAUUUCGUUUGACGAUUUUGGUUAUUGAAUUGCACAGUAUGGAUGAACUGCAGACUCAAGUUGAACCCUUAGGAUAUAUGUUUCUCCAUAUGAAUGGGUGCUUCUGGGUUUUAGCGACCCAACUCUUCCUCUCCUUUUUUCAUUAUUGAUUUUCCUUAAUAUAUUGACCCUCUUUUCAUUCAUCAUAUGUCUCUACUAAAGGUAAAAUCUUUGUUAAAGGGUUUGAAAUUAACUUGAGGAUAGUAAGAAUAGUCACUUAUGAAUCGAAAUAGUAAGCGCUGUCGAAGGCCAUACUUGAGAAAUAACUAAGGAUGAAGGUUUACAAGUAAUUCAAAAGAACACUAAAAAGAGAAGUACUUGUAUUAAAAUUCUCUAAACUACUGUGCUUUCAUUCUUAAGCUCUCUCCUCGCUUCACUCUUAAGUUUGUCGAUUACAAAUAAAAACCCACAUAUUUAUACUUCGCUUUUUUUGGAUGGACAAUGUAGAUUAAUUCUUGAACAUAUUCUUAUCCAAAUGUUUAGAAACUUAUGGUCAUAUUACUUUCUAGUAACAUUGUCUCUACGACCUUAUGAAGUGCUUCUGCAAACACUUUCGUGCAUGAAACAUUCUAGAAUCCAAGAUCUUUAUACAUGUCUUCCCAGCAUUCUAUAGCUUUUUCAAGAAUCUUUCAUGGAACUCCAUGACCUUAUCAUCUCCAUAAUAUUUCACAAGGUUCUUGAGAAUUCCAGGAACCUCUUCUAAGAUGUUCUAAUUGUGCAGGAUGUCGGCCAGCCCUAUCAACAAACCUUAGUGUCUCUUGCAUAAUUUUUUUGAUGUGCAUGUCUGCCUUAGUCUUCAACUGUGUCCUUCUCAGCUGGCUUCUGUCUAUGUCAACAAUUUUCUAUUCUACUGCACUCACAACUUACCUUCCGCCUAUUUGGCCACUCGUGUUGAUCAUUGCAAUGUGAUUAUAAACCUCCGUAACACUUAUAUUGAAACUUAAAUAUAUCGUUGGAACAAUUAUCGUUGUUUCCAUACUUGUGGCCACAGCAAUAGCAGGACUAAUUGCAGUCUUUGUAUUCCUUUCCUGGCAUAAACAAACAUUAGGACGAGAAGAGGCGACUAUUUCCCUGGGGCAAAGGAAGCUAACCUCGGCUGUCGAUUUAGACAAAAUGGAAUAAGGGUCAUCAUCACCAGAAAACUCUACAAGCAGCAAGAAAUCUGACCAGAAUGUGAAGCUCACUUUCUUGAAGGACGAUCGAGAAAAUUUCAACAUGACGUCUCUGCUAAAGUCCUCGGUAGAGAUAUUAGGAAACGGAGUUUUUGGGUCGUCUUACAAAGCUGCUCUUAAUGCUGACCAGGUUAUGGUUGUGGAAAGAUUUAGGCAUAUGAAUAGUGUUGGAAAAACAGAUUUUCAUGAGCAUAUGAGAAGGUUAGGCAGGUUGAGCCACCAGAAUCUGCUUUUGAUCCUCGCUUUCUAUUACCGGAAAGAGGAGAAGCUCUUGGUUUUCGAUUAUGUUGAAAAUUUUAGCCUACCUUUCCAUCUCCACGGUAUUUCGAGUCUUCUCACCGUCGAAGAUAAAAUGUAAAUAGUAAACACAUGAACCAUCUCUAAGAGUUUAAGCGGUUAAACUAAGGGGUUCAUGUCUGCUACUAAGGAAAAAUGAAUUCCACUUAACUCAUGAGGAGGCGUGUUGAAAACAAUUAUUGUUCCAAUGAAAAAAACGUUAAUAGAUAUAAUGUUACCCUAUUGAUUGUCGCUAAAGGUUAAAAUGGAAGUUACAUAUAUAAGACAAUAAUUUAGAUUAUUUUUCAAAUAUUUUGUUCAAUUUAAAUAGUGAUCAAACAAUUAUUAUAAUAAAAAAAAAAUCAAACCAUAAACUAUCAAAUCAAGUUGAUUCAUUUUAAAAUUCACUUUAAUCAAUAGUAAAAAAAAGAAAAGAAAAGAAAAGAAUAUAUUAUCCUUUAACAUAAAUUCUUAAUUCACAUUGCAUAAACAAUUUCAUGUUAAUUAUUUUUUGACUUUUCAUUUAUUUAAAUGUUAAGCUCAUUAAAAAUUAUAAGUUUAUUUUCAAAAUAUUCAACAAUUACAUUUCAAAAUUAUAACUAAAUAUUCUAUAAUAAAUUUUUUUUAAAACAAAAUUAACAUAUAGAUGGAAUGAUAGAUUAAGAACAUGUAUUUUUAAAUUAAGCAUGAAAUUGAAUUUUAAAAAAUAAUGGUGGAUAGAACUCGAGAAUCACCUAAUUUUAACUUGCUUAAUUCCAUACAUUUUUCUGUCUGUCCUUGCCACAAAGAUAAAUUUUCUCUUGCACCAAAGUGUUUUGUUAGUAUUACAUCUUCUAUGUUAUUUCCUUGUACAAAUCUCAACUUUUCAAAACUCGCACCUCAAUUCUCUCUUAUGUUCCAUUUCUAAUUAUCUACAUUUUGUUCAAACGAACAAAUGUUACAAUAUUUUGUGCAGAUUUAUGCAAUUAUAGUCGAUCUACUCUUAAGGCAUAUUUUAAAGCACAUGUUUAGACAACUAUUUUGUUAUAAUCAUGUAUGUUAUUAGAUAUCGAACUAUAAUGAAAUUGUUAUAUAUUUAUUAGAAAAAAAAAUUGAUGAGUCCUAUAAUCAAUGUUACAUUUGAGAAAUGAGAAACAUUGUAAAUUUCAAAAAUCAUGUCACAACAAAAUAUUAUGUAUUGGAACAGAUUUGGUAGGUUUUCUAAAUUUGAAGAUUCAUAUGAGAACUACUAUAUAAAAUAAUUCCUUUAUUUUAAAUAUAUCCCUCCAACAUAGCUAAUUAGUUAUUCUCUUACAAAAACGGUCGGACACAUCAUCAAUUCAAAUUCUACAAAUUAUGAGUAGAUACUGAAGGUAUGUUGUGACAUUUGUUUUAUGUGAUCAUAUGUAAUCGUGGUGAUCUAGAUGACUAAUUAACAAAAAUUAGUUUUGAGCAUAACCCAUUCUAUAUUUUGUAAUUACAACUAAUUCAUAUAUUAUGACGUGAGAUAUUACAAAUAACCGUGAUUCUCAUAGAAUUGUGACGAAUUUAUGUGAUGAUUAUUCAUAUAGGCAUAAAUGGUUAUCAAAUGUGACAGUUGUGACAUUUGACGAGAAGUUUAACCACAUGUGGCUAGUAUGAGUUGUGUCUAUUCUAUAUUGCUUUUUGUGUUCACGAACUGUAGACUUUCAAAAAAAAAAAAAAAAAAAAAAAGAGGGAGAAUAUCAUUUAAAUUGCUAUAUUUUGGGAAAAAUAUUAGAAAUGUAAUAAAGAAUUUUUGAAUUAAUUAAAUUCGUAAACAUCUGAUUUAAUUAGUUUAAAUUUCCAUAUUUUGGGAAAAAUAUUAGAAAUGUAAUAAAGAAUUUUUGAAUUAAUUAAAUUCGUAAACAUCUGAUUUAAUUUUUUUUUUAUCCAACACUUAAUUUGCCAAAAGUAAAAGUUAAAUAUUUUGAUUGGUCAAAUUGUUUUAUGGGAAAAUUUCAUAAAUAAGAGGAUAAUUAUUGUCUGUUUCAAAACUAAAAAUACAAGUUUGAAAUUUCAAAAAUCAGAUAUUUAAUAAAAUUUAUUUAUAAUUUAUUUAAUUAAUUAUAUAUUUAUUAAUUAGAUAUAUCAGGGUCACAUAUCUACAUAAUAUGGUCACAGAUUCACAAUUUAGUUAAUCACAUAUUAUUUUUCAAUCACAAAUCAUAAUUUUUAAAUGUCACAAUUCAAAAGUUUUAUAAGUUACAGAGUAUUCAUCAAUCACAGAUAAAGAAUUUAUACGUCACAAUUUAUUUAUAGGUCACAAAUCACAUAUAUUAUAUGUCACAACUUAUUAGAUACUCACAAAUUAAUAUUUUUUUAGGUCACACUUUAUUUUUUAGUCACAAUUUAUCUUUUUCAUUGGUCACAGAUUAACCAAUUUAAUGGUUCGAUAAACCAAAUAAUUUGUAAUCAUCACCAACACUUGUCGACAACCAUCGCCUCCACCUGCACCACCACUACUGCCACCUAAGAACAACACCACGACCUAAGAACAAGACCACGAUCUCAAACAAAUCAACACAUCCACCUCGACAGACAAUCACCACGACCACUCCCGUUUAUCAUUGCAUCGGACCGCACCGCACCACACCACACCGCCCACACAACACAACCAAAACCACCACGACCACCGUACCGCACCGUACAACACAACCAAUACCACCACAACCACUGCACCUCACCCAAAAAAAGCCCCAAAUCUACCACCGGACACUACCACCACCGCCUGUAUCAACCACAGCCACCACGGCCAUCACCUCCGCUCAACCAUAACACCACCACACACAACCCAACACAACCAACUCACCACCACAGUAAACAACCAUCACAAACUCAUUGCCGCCAAAUAGAGCUCGCCACGCACAGUAGUGUUCUGAUCUUGCUGUGCCCAGCGGCAAGCUCAAAGACCGCCACACUUAGCAAUGACUAAAUCACCAAAUCAUAGAGCUUAGUUGUCGUUCCUCACUGUUCAACCGAUGGAUUCGAUGUCGGUGAGGAAGAGAAUGGAUAGAAGAGAUCGAAAAAAGAGAACUGUCGUUGGGGAUUGGUGCGUUGUGGAGGGCACAACACGAUAGUGGUAUGAGGUUGAGCACUAGUGGCACAACGCGACACUGGUACGAGGCUGAGCGACGGUGAUACAACGUGACAGUGGUGGUGCGAGGCUGGGUUUUGGGGAUUGAUGUGAUGCUAUUCAACAUAAGACCACGGUGUUGCGAGGCUGAGAGGUGCACAACACGACGGUGAUGCAAGGAAGCAGAAUGACCCUCGCCGAAAAUGGUGGCAGUACCAGAAGUAGUGAUGGAAAGAAGAUUGAGACAGGGUAAGAAGGAUGAAUGAAUUUUAGGGUUUGGUUGGGCAUUGGGGUUGGAUUUCAUUUAUUUUAUAUAUUAUGUUUAAGUUUAAUUAAAAAAUUUAUAAUUUUUGAAAUGUUAAACUCCCCCAUUUGAUUCAGGACUUUAAUCCCAUGGUUACGUGUAAUUUCUACUUGUUUUAUUAAGAGGAAAUUACACCGUCCCCGGUGUUUUAACUUUACAGUGCAAAAAUCUGGUAUGAAGUUUUGUUAUUCACAAAUUCGGGAUAAAUAUGAUAAUUAAAUAUCUCCCCCAAUUCCAACCCUAACCAUUUCAAUUCACCCUCUCUCUCAACUGUUGAUUUGUCUCUCACGUAGCUCAUCAUUGACGACCAUCGCAACCUCGCCGCUUGAUGAAGACGAUGACGCAGCUGCAACACUCCAUGAGUGACGGUGUUGCCGUCGUGGCUGAGGACGAGUGUUUGCUCUCUCUGUCUCUCACGUCUCUCCUCAUCGGAGACCACCGCAGGUCGCCGCGCGACAAUGACACCUCUGUAACCGUGAGCGACGAUGUCGCCGCCGUGGCCUACGACGAGGACGAGUGCCGUUGUAGCUGGAUCUAACCCAUUUUGCUUCUUCUGCCUGUGUGACUGCUUUUGCUUGUGCAAUUGUGUGGAUCUGAAGACUAUAGUGCCUUGAACACGUUGACAACAACGAAGAUGGUGGUGGAUUAGACGGUGUUUUGUGUGGUGGUGGACCUGGUGGAGAAUUGAUGAUGGCGGUUUUUUUGGUGGUGGCUGUGGUGGUGAAUUUAUUCUCUGUAGUAGAGAAAUCUAGUGGUGGUUUUGGGUGUUGUGAUGGUGUUGGUGAUUGUAUUGUGUUGGUCAAUGGUGUGUGGGUGCUGUAAUGAUGGAUUUCCAGUCAUGGCUAUUGUUGAUGUGGUGGUGGUGUAUGGUGCGAUUGUGAUAGUAGUGGUGGCGUGCGGUGUGCAGUGGAGGUGGAAGUGUGCGACCAAUUUAACUAUGUGUGUUGGUGGUGCUAUGGUGCAAUGAGGUGUGCAGUGGAGAUGGAGGUGGUGGUGCGGUGGUUGGGUGCGUGCAAUAGCGGUAUGGUACAGUGCGAUGGUGUAGUGGUGGCUCAGAUGGUGUGUUGUGGUGUUGACCGAUUGUUGUGACGCGAUAGGGGUGCAAUGGUGGUGAUGGAUAGAGUUUGUGACCAAGUGCUGUGGUGAAAUUGGAUCGGGAUCGGGUGUGGUGUUGCGGUGGUAUAGUGCAAUUGACAAUUGGAUGGUGGUGGUUUGUACCCAAGAUUGGUGCUGGAUGGGACCGAUGGAAGGGGUGACCAUAAAGUUUGGUCUGUGACCUUAAAAUUUGAUGAUCUGUGACUAAAAUAAUAAUCUGUGAUUUCAAUGAUUUUGUCCAUGACCUUAAAAUUUAACGAUCUGUGACUAAAACAAUAAUCUGUGACCUUAACUAUUUCGUCCGUGACCUUAAAAUUUGAUAAUCCAUGACUAAAAAAAUCUGUGAGCUAUAAAAUUUUCGAUUUGUAACCUCGAAAUAAUUCGUGAUCAAUUAAUUUGAUGAUAUGUGAUUAAUAAAUAAAUCUGUGACCAUUAAUUAUUUUACUGUGACUUUAAUAUAUUUAUUUAAUAAAUAAUUUUAAUUAAUUAAAUACAAACUUGAAUUUUGAAUUUUCAAACUUCUUACCUGACUUUUAAAAUGGUGUAAGAAAUACACCUUAAAUAUGAAUUUUGCUCUUUUAUUAAUUACAUACUUGAUUGAGGCCCAUGUAAAGCCCAGUUAGAAGGCAUGCAUAUCCAACUAACAUUGUUCAAUUCAUAGAGGAAAGGGUACAAGAGGCUAAAGGUUUUCUUCAUCGGCAUUACGCUGAAAAUCAAGGGAUUCGUAACCCAUUGGCACCAAUUUAUCUUGUGUUGCAGUGAUUUACUCAACUUCUUCAUCAACAAAAUUGGAAGGUAGUAUCCAAUUUUAUGAGUGUAAAAACGGGCUUAUAUAUUAAAUCGCACUCGAUCGGAUUGUUCGGAAUGAUUCAAUUUCAACUCAACUCAUAAUUUAUUUAUUUGUCCAAAAUUGUUGUUUCUUGAUUGUAAUCUUCCUCUAGCAACAGUGAUUUUUCGACGAUAUUUCUCUUGAAUUCUUGAUGCGGUUGUUCAUGGUUUUCUCCUUGCCUUAAAAACUGGCUCCCCUGAAAUAUCCAAGACCAAAAUUCAGCUGGGCCAGUUGCCCCUCUAGUCCCCCAGGUGGAUUCUGUAAUGACGAAUAAUUGGAUAAGAUAAAAGGAAAUAAGAUUAACGUGGACAAAUAAGGGGAAAAAAAAAUGGAAAAGAAAAAAUGGGAUAUAUGUAGUUGUUAGAAAGUGGCAAACUACUCGGGACUGAACUAUACCUAACAUGGAAUGGCGAAUGGACUGGGGGAUGCCGAUUCGUUUCCGGUGUAUGAAAUGCUAUAACUAAUGGCAAUGCUUCAUGUAGGAAUUGGCAUGGCAGGUCAUGAAAUCCGUGCUUAAAUUUUUGAGUAGAUUUUUUUGAUAUUACAUAGUAUUCUGCACCUUUUCGACUUUAAUCUUUUGAACUGUUUCAUUUUGCAGAAGAAAAAGAACUUAACGAAAUGAGAGGAGGGCGGAAGAAUCUCAAGAGGGCAGUUGAGGAAGAGAUGGUGACUCUUCAGCAAGGCCAAAGCAUAAUGCAAGUUGUGGAUCUCAGGGGCUCCAAUCUUACUGAGGUACACUUACUCUUUCUAAGUGACAGACUGAGUUAUUUUCAAAUUAGAGGUUGUGCUAAAACUUACAAUCUGAAUGUGAAGGUAAUGGAUGCAAAAGGCCAGAAAUUGCUAGCAAUUUUUCCAGCAAAAUUCCAGAAAAGCAUGUGGAUCAAACGAGGUUUUGUUCUUUUGAUGAAAGUGUUGAAAUUAAUGCUGCCAUUAUCUAAUCAAGGCUCUCAUAAAUGUUUCUUCUAAUGGAUUUUUCUUAAUUUCUAGAUGGCCAUUAUUAUUUUUUUUGAAUUAUUUUCCUGAAGCUAACAGGGAUGAUGACUCCUUUGGUUUCAAUGAUAGGGAACUUUGUUGUGGCUGAUGAAGGUGGUAGAGAAGAGGCAGCCGAGUCUGGCAGAAAAGUUGGGUGCAUCAUUACGCGAGUACUCUACCAUGAACAAGUUCGUCUGCUUCAAAAAUGUCCAAACUGGUACAUACUUAUUCUAAAUUCUUCAUAAUUACUUCUCCAUUGUCCCGCUUUGCAAUAUAGGAAAUGGCUUAUUAAGGAUGGUGCAUGUGUGAUGAUCAUGAUAUAUCCUUUUAGUUGUCUGUUGUGCAGAUUUUGUACGUACUAGUACAUUUGGCCGAUAUUCUACAUUUGUCGUUUAGCAGCUUUUCUUUACGGCUAGUAAAGAACCAUCAUGUAACUUGUAUCUCCUGCAUUCCUGAUAUAUAGCAUGUUUGGCUGAUCUCAAAAGUAACUUAAAUUUAUUCUUUAAGUAAAUUUUUGUUUUCAAAUGUUUGAAUUGAUUACUUUUUUCUUAGGUUUGAGAUAAAAAAAGGUAGAUAUCCAAAAUAAAUAACGCAUUUCCAACUUUGAUCAACAAAUGCACUAAUCCCCUGGUGCAAUUGCUGGUGGUGUAACAAGGGGUUCGCAUUUCAAGAUUUCUUGCUAUAGAAGUACGAACCAGUUUGUGUUGCUGAAUUGAGGGGUGUGUGUUUGUGUGUAAAUGAUGGUUGCAUUGUUCUGUUUUUAUUUUGAAGUCGUUCAAGACACAUUGCAUCCGCUGAACAUAAAUUAACUGCAUGCUACAUUGCUGGCUAUCGAUGCAGGCCAGAAACGUUCAAAUCCACGCCCCCAGCUAACUUGAAGCCAUAUUCCCACUCACAUACAUCCGAAAGAGAUGAUUCAGAAAGUUCGACAGAUGAUGAUGGACUCCCACCAUUGGAAGCCAAUACAAACAGAUUAAAUCCUCUUCAGAUGCAGUUGGAUACCGAUUCUGAAUCGGAUACAAACAAUUCUUAAAUCUUAUAUUGUGACACUGUUAUACGCUUAUGCAUUGUACCAAGUGUAGUCAUACUUACGUCCAUUUUAAGUAGAGAUGUGCUUGCAGCACACAAGAUUUUUUGUUUCCUGAUGAUUUAUUGUUUUGUUCUUAUUUAUUUCUCAAAGCCUAGUUAACAUGAUGACAGACGUGUAAGAGAGCUAGGAAUGGCAAGAUGUUACGUCCCGAGGAGAAUUGGUGUGGGGAUGGAGGACAUGGUCGCUACCCUACUCUUAUGUUCUAUGUUAUUUUAAUAUAUUUUAAAAUUUAAAUCGUUUCAGAAAAAAAUAAAUAAAUAAGUAAAUGUGGAGGAAAAGAAAUGGUAAUUUAUAAUGUGUUUAUAGUUUAGAGUUUAAAUUGUAGUGGAAAAGUGACAUUAAUAUCAGAAAAAAUUAUUGUGCUGUUGUUAUACACAACAAACAACCAAUUCAAGGCAUCAAAAUAAAUCUUCUUGGUGGAUAGUUAUAGUUUGCCGCACAAUUUCUGAUAAGAAUAUCCGGAUGUUAAGAAUAUCCUUAGAAGAGAAUAGCAGAACGAGAGUUUGGUAUGAGAUUUCUCUUACUGGUGGUGUCAUUUUAUUUGUAUGCUUCGCUUGGUGGAGGGGCAAAACCAUCAGAAAUGUAUUGAACUAUAGUCGUUCCUUCCUGAAGUGAGAAUUUAAGAACUUCCCGACAAGCAUUGCAUCUCAGUCGCUGAUAUUUUUUCUUGGAUAAGAGAAAGUCUGCUGGUAGCUGCAACAAUUCCAAGCAAUGAUAACAAUUCACAAAUGGAGCUCCACCAGCUAUAGGCCGGAUAUAUCUCUUUGCUGCCUGAUAUUUCUCCCUCGAAUAUGACAUUUUCAUCUCGUCAUCCAAUAAGGAAGCCUCAGAGCUCAUGUAACGCUGGGGAGUCGAGGAACUCGAGGCAUGAGACUGAACACUGUCACAACACAUUGAAUGUGAAGGAAACUGUGGUGAGCAACAAUGCACACAAGAGCAGUUGACUUGGCGACUGCAAUGUGCGGCGUCCACGGAAUGUGGCAUUCUUGAGGCACUGCAUUGUCCAGGCCAACAUUGUACUUGACUGUGUCUCAUAUGAUACCUAGGAUGGUUCAAAUCUGCAUGCAUCUCCCUUUCUGGUACUAAAUGAUCAUCAUACAGCGGAGUAUACUUUUCAUCCAUGAUAGACGGAAACCCUCUGUUUGUCAUAUCACUUGAAAAACGCAUCCUGUUAAGCUGAUCUUCGAGUUCAUAGACCAUUCUCAACAAGUCCAUUUUGUCUGGUUCUGAGUUAGAAGGCUCACCUGGUGAAUAAAAGUUCGGAUGGUGCUCAAAAAGAUUGUGCUGAUAACUCAGAGGUUUUCCAUUUCCAUGACUUUCCAUGAAAUCACUGGGACUGAAUGGUGAUCGAGAAAAACUUUCUUUAUCAAAUCUUGUCCUGUUUUCACUGGUGUGAUCGUAUCUUUUUGUUUCAGGCAACUCAAACUUUCUUCUGGAUGGUUGUAAAAUAUGGUUGGGAAUUUGAUCAUCCGUUCCAUCAUAAGAUGAUACACUACCAUCAUAAGCAUAGUAACUUCUGAUUGUAGGAGAUUUAUACAUAUCCUCACGUUUAUCGCUAAGAUCAUUAAUAGGAUCAACAAGAGGCAAGCUUCCCAAAGUAUCUACCGAACUUGCUCUGCCAAUAGUUUCAGGACUCCAGGAAUGCUCCAUGUGUUCACCAUCUGAAGUGAUGAAAUCGACUGACACAACGCUAUCGUUCAAGGGGCUUUCAGCAGCAACAAAUAGAUCUCCAGUAUGCGUGUUCAAACUGCUUUCCUUGCUCAAGCUUCUAAAGUUUGGAUGAAUCUUGAUAUUCUCAUUGGGGUCAGUAGUUGGUCCAGUUGGACGUGAUGAAGUUUUGAGACUUUUUGAAAUGUUCGAAAUCUUUACAUCAUUUUCUGGUACAAUAUAUUGACUUUUGAUCCCCUCGAUAUUUUCUCCAACUUCCAUUGGAUGCCUUCCAUGGCAUUUGUCCAAAGGAAUCGUGUCAUUCCAUGCCAUGCAUUCUCUAACUUCUUGGGUCGAUCCAUCAACCAUAUGACAAUUAAACUUGUUUGAACUAGGAGAUUCAUCAGAUAAGUUUCUGCCUCUACUCCAUUUCCUAUUGUAAUCCUGCAGAAACCUGGAAUCUAAUCUGCCGGUAUUUUGCUCCAAAGGACAUUCAUCUUCAUCCAAAGAUUUUCUUGUCUCAGCAGAUGAAUCUUUUCUCUCAAAACAGUUAACCUCGGGCUGACUAGAAAUCUUAUCAGAGAAGUUUUUGUCAUGUCCACCGUAAUCUCCCGCGUUGUCAUUUUCUGUCGAGGAUCCUCCACUCAAGGGAGGAGUUAAAUCUUGAUUAGAGCCAGCCUCUUCCUUCUCUCCUGAAACACGAUCCUGCUCGGUUUUGACAACAGCAUCUCUUUCUUGUAAGCGUACAUUUGCAUCAUUAGAUUCAUUUUUCCAAUUUUUAGCUACAUGCAGGCAAAAACAGAAGGAACAUAAGAAGACAAAAAGAAAGAUAGGAAGUAGAAAAUAAGCCCACAAAACAUCAGUAAAAAAAAUUGAGGUCUUGGUGUCAUGGAUUACUAUCUUUACUAUUGAAAGUAAUAUAAUUAGAACAGAGCACAAUUUUUUUUUUUUUUAAUAAUGGCUCAUCCUCAAUGUGAGAGUUACGUUCACUUUUCCAUUACUGAUUUUCUCCACAACGAAGAAGAUAAUAGGGCCUCAUUCUACCACCCAUAAACAAUCCCCUUAAUAUACUUGUAUAGUAAAAAUUUUAGGUUCCAUUCUGUCCAACACAAUAUAGUUAUGUUCCACACGGCGAAAUAUAGGAUGAUUAGGUUUUACACAGUCCAACAUUUGGCAGCUUUAAUUCUUAAUUCUACCCAUGCCAAGUAUCUGCAUCGCAAAAUAGAUCAUUUUCAGGGGCUAGAACUACACUUUUUAACAUAUUUUCAAUCUUUAAAUGCCAUACUAAUCAUCCCACGAGAUAUUAUAAUAAGCUUCAAAUAAAUUUCAAGAAACAAUAUCAUACUAUUAAUAUGAGAUAAGUAAAACUGGAAAGUUACUACCUUGGAGAACUGUACCACAUCCUCCACACUUGUAUAGAGGAACAUCUGGCAACUCUGCUAGAACCUGUUGGCAUCUAGGACAUCUAACCAGUCGGACUUUUGUGGUUGGUGGAGUACUCAUUUUUCACCUGAUAUUUGGCUUAUCGAAUCAUCAAAGAUCAACCUUUUCAAACUCUACCUUUAACUUGCUAGAAGUCUAGGAAACAAAGAGAAGAUAUGUACGAACAAGAUAUCCAACAAGCCUGAUGUUGUUUAAAUACCAAAACCUGUUGGAAACCAUGAGAAGUGAAUUUUAGAGUAUUUAUGCAGACAAAUUCACACAAAAACAGAUUACAAGAGAACAGCAAGAUAAAUCAUUACAAGAAAAAAAUAUACCACUUAACCCACUAAAUAUUCAUCAAAUCCUUGCAUAACUGUGUCGCAUCUUACUUGGAAAAAAAAAUCCAUUACGUAUUAAGAAUGUAUAAAGUACAAAUAGACUCUUUAGUUAUUCUAACAGUUUUCCCAUUCUAACUUAAACUAGGAAGAUUUUUCAUGUUUUCCUUAGCCUCUUGCAAUAGACAACUAAGAAAAAAUCGAAAAAUAAAGAUUUUUUUGAAUAGAAUUAACAAAACUGAAUCAAACCAAUUGCCAAGAUCUUAUAAUAGAAGCCAUGACCUGGAUGCCAUAUUCAUUCUUUUUAACCAAAGCCUCGCACUGUGUAAAAUUUUCAUAAAUGGAUAGCUACCUUCGACAAGAGUGUCAUAGCAAAAAUCGACAUAUAGUGUAAUGAAAUUCAUGUAAAUCACCCAAGUCCCAACACGUUUGGGCAAAUAAAUGUUUGAAAAAAAGGGUAUUUUGUACAAUCUUGAAACUAAUCCCACGAAGAUUUAAGACAUGAUUUAGCAAGCAAAGAAAGAUGGGAAUUAAGAAGCAUACAUAAUAUAAUGACAUAUUAAAUUAAUUCUACCUUCUCUACCGAAUUUGUGUAAAACCCAUUUGAUUAAACACAGAUCAGAUCAUAAUCAAACUCAUUCUCUCUCUAUAUAUAUAGAUACAAUACAGAUAUAUGAAUAUGUAUAUCAGUACAUGUAUAUAGAGAGAAAGGAAAUAGAAUGAAGCAAGAAAAUGAGUGGGAGUAAGGAAAUAGACGAACCAACCUGGGAAGAAACAGGGUACCGAUGAGAAAAUCUUUUUCACCAUUAGAUCGUCUUCUUCUUCUCCUUCCUGCUAUUUUCCACCCCUCUCUCUCUCUCUCUCUCUGUCUCUGUCUCUCUCUCUCACACCCACACAAAUACACACACAGAGCACCAACUACCACAAUUAUGGCGGUGUCUUUCUCAACCGUAAAAGAACAGCUUGUCAAUCCCACAACUAAAAGUCGAACUCUUGAUUUCGUCUUAUUAUCUAUCUCUCUAAAAGAAAGAAUGAUUGGACACGGAAGAGACAGGUAAAAGCGGGACCAGAAUGAUAAGAAUUUUUCUUAACUGUACAAAGAAUUAUGUAUUGAAUAGAAUAGAAUAGAAUAGAAUAGGAUGAUGCUUAAACACAAACUCCCACGACCCACAAGUCAGCUGCUUAUUGUUGCUGUUUCCAUUUUAGGGGAAAAAAAAGAAAAAUUAUGCUGACAAACACAUUUAUGACAUAUGUUUAGCCCAUUAAAAAUCAGAUUUUUAAUUAAUUUUGAUAAAUGUUGAUGAAAUAUAUGGUUAAAAAAGUUAACAAUCCCAUAAAAUAUAUGAUUAAAAUUAAUUGUUAACUUUUUUUAAAUUAAAACUUUAAGAUGCACCGAAUAUAGACUUUUUGUAUGUUCCACUUGAAUGACCGUAGUUAACAACCUAUUCUAUAAUUCAUUUAUUUAAUUUAGCGAAUCAAAUAUGUCAUAAUAUUUUAUAUAUUUUCACAAAGUGAUCAAAACAGCUAUUGUCCAACUUUGAAAUAUUCAAAUAUCUAAAAAUAGCAUGAGAAAUGAAACUGAAAUAAGUAAUUAUACUUUAUUUUGAAGUUGAAAAUCCAUAUCUUCAUUGAAUUUUUCACAAUAUUUCUCAUAGACAAUAAAUUUUUAUCCGAAUAUUCAUCAAACUUAUCAAAACUUUAUCUCAUCGUUCACUCAGUAACUUGUCGUUUGAACAAUCGACAGACUAAUAGACAUGGCAAAUGAAAUUGCUAGCAUGUCACGUUAUUGCCGUCAAUUGUGACAAAUCAGCCAAAAACUCUUUCCAUCCAUUAAACUGCUAAUAAAAUAUUGAUUAAAGGAUAAAUGGAUAUUAUAGAAAAUCCUCACUCCACCUUCCUCCGAAAAGGAUGUCUCAGUUGGAAAUUAUAUUAAGUUUUAACUUUCAAAAUUAUUAUAUUUUAAAUUUUAAUUUUGGUUUAAUUAAAAUCUUAAUUUAUAAUAUAACAUACAAUUAAAUAUUUGAUUGGACGUUAUGAAUUGAUUAAUUUUCAUUAGUGUGGGGGGUUUAAAUUAUACACUAUAAAAAGGGAGGACACAACAUCAAAAUCACACUCUUGAGAUACAACUAGAAUACAUAACUUGAGAUAAUUGAAUCCAAAAAUAUUCUCUAUAAUUUUAUAAUAUACUAUUUUGGCAAAUCGAUGAAAGUCUCAUUCAAUUAUCUUCCUAUGGUCGCGCCCAUAGAAGUAAAGCCACAUUGGUUUUAUUUUAGAGCCAAGUAGUGCCAAAAGAACCCGCGCGAAGGGAAAGUGAUACGACUUUAGGAUAUCAUCCUCGACGUGACUCCCAAGGCUUGUCAUUUCUAACUCUCCUCUUAUGUUUGCAUUCUUGUUGAGAUAUUACUUAUAUGUUUAUAUUUAAAAUAGUUGUGUUAAAUAAUAUUUUAUAUACACACAAAUCACCAAAUUUCUCAACAUUCUAAAGUUGUGUUGUGAUUUGUGUAGAUGAUUUUAUGGUAAUAUUUAAACAACGAAGUGUUUCAUGUGAUGCUUGAUUAAUGUGUGCCUUGUGUAUAAAUAAACUUUUCUCUUAGAUAAAUCGUAAGUGUGAUCUUUAGUCAAUAAAUGUAUAUUUCUUCUUUGAUACAUUUGGAUUUAGUUUUCAUGAACUUAAUGUUAAUAGUAUUUUCAUUUAACUUUUAUUUUUAUCUUAUAGUGGCGGAGUGUGCAAAAGAAAUAAUGAUCAAAUAUGUAAAAGCAUGCUUCUAGUUGGAAAAAAAAUAAUAAUAAAAAAAAAGAAAAAAAAUCCAUGAAUAUCUCUUAGUAUAAAAAUCCUCCAUUAAUUUUCUUAAUUUUGUUUAUCAGCUAUUAAUUAUGAGCAAAUGCUAAUUGACUUUGUCAGCAAAAGUCAUUUUAGACUAUCAUUUCCAAUAUUUUCUAAACACAGUUUUUUUUUUUUUUUUCCCACUAUAUUCUCUGGCCGUUUAUCUAACAGUAGUUUUCAGUUCACUUGAGUAUUACUUGAAAUAAUUCUGUUUUAUGUGGAAUUGAAAUUUGACAAAAUUAAUGUUCAGUUUCUCUUGCACCUAUCCCAAUUUCUCUUCAACACACAAUCUAUUGUUGAAGAUUUAAUAUUCGCAGUUGUUUGUUUUAGAUGCAACAGUCGUGAACCUAUUUUUACAUCCCUACAUGUACAAAAUUUGAUUAAUGUUAAUAUAUAUAUAUAUAUAUAUAUAUGGUUCCCAUUUGAACAUAAAUAAAAGUAUAUAGUCUGCUAUAUGUGAAUUCAAUCUACUUGCUGUAUUAUCCAAUAUUUUGAGUUAUGAGUCUAGCUGUAAUUUAUGGCUACAAAUCUCAUACUUAUUCAAAACUUAAGUGAGUACCCAGUACUAUUCCGUGGCUCAAAGGGUACAUACAUUUGGAUGCAAUUGAGACAACCUAUAAAUAUAUUAUAUACUGAAUUGAUCUAAUGACUUUUAUUCUCAUAAUUCCAACAGAAAAUGGUACUCCUUGCCAUUCUUGUGGAAUUGUUUCUAAUUUUUUACGUGGAUAGUUAAAUUAAAAAAAUGAGAAAAUUUUGGUCUAAAUAUAAAGUGAGAUAUUAUUAUCGUACAUUAUAACCAUAACUAGUAUUUUGUCAUGUACAUGAAUGCGAUGAAUUACACUGUUUACAUGGGAAUUCUAUGAUUUCAUUUUGAACAAAUGAUUAAAAGAUUUAACUCACAAAUGUGUCUAAUUAUCCCUUUAGAAAAGUUUUAAUUGUAACUCAUGUGAAUAAUAGUGAUUUUAUUCAAUUUAGAUACGUAACUCAUAUUUUGAUGUUAGAAUAAUUAAAUUUGAUUUAAGUUUUGAAAGCUUUAUAUCUUAAUAAUUAAAUUUUAUAUGAGCCCUUAUAAUUUUAAGUUAGUAAAAUGAAUGCGUGUGGACGAUGAAUUUGGAUUAUAUUCUAUAUUUGCUAGAAUUUCACGUGAUUGUGCUUAAUCGAAAGAAUAUUUCUUUUGUGGAAUAUUUGAUUUACUAUAUUUGAAAAUUAGUUUACGGUCUAAUUAAAUUUUGGCACUAUGGUUUGCUAAUAUGGAGUACAAAAUUACAAGCAUUUUGUAUUCAAGAUUUAUUUUAUUCUUAUAAAGGCACGUUUACUUAGAUUAAUGUUGAUAAAUCAUAUUUGAUAUUUUAUAGUUAUGCUAAUUCUAAUUCUUAUCGUCUAAUGUUUUGUGAUACAUGAAUAUUAUUGUGUUCAAUUAUGUUGUCCAAGUGGAAGUACUUAAAAUCCUUGGAAUGUGGGGGUAUUAAAGAAAAAUUUCGAAUAUAUGUAUUGUAUCCAUGAAUAGUUAUAAUUAUCAUGAAAUUGUCAUUUUGAGCAAAGUGUACAGAUUGAAGUUGAAGAUUGCAGGUGAAGUGAAAGAGCUCAAUAGUAGUAUUUGUCCAACCAUGAUACUAAAAGUCAAUAUUAAAAUUAGUCAAUAUAAAAAAUUUCAUGAAGUUAUCUUAUAUGUGAUAUUAACAUUUUAGAAAAGUUCUUAGCUGACUUUGCAGAUGUAUAUGAAGAAUUGCAAAAUAAUGGUACCAAUUUAUUGUCCAAGAGACAUGAAUAUAUGUAGUCCGAGAUGAACAUACAUAAAUCAUUGAGGGGGAUGAGUUUAAGCUCAUAAGGGAGUCAUCUCCGGAAGUAAUCCAACAUUUGUGAUUGGAGAUCUCAUGAAGAAGGUUCAACGUGGUAGAAACAAUCUGUACUGUGUGACUUGUAAUAGCACUAUUUAUUUGUGCUCAUCCCUAUGGUGAUAGUGCUAAUAAUAAUGUGAUGUUAGGAAUGAUUUAAUUUUGAAUGAGUACCGAUGCGAGAAUUCUUGCGAGGUGUGGGUCACACACACCUUGAAGGAUUCACCUAUGUAAGAGUUGUCAUGAGGCCGUGGCUAUGGGAUUGAGCUAUUCUCUAGAGACUCUUACUAGAAUCAAGAUUAGAGCGCAUGACCAUUAAAAGCGCUACCCGCUAUGAACUGAGUCUAAAUCGAUACUGUGUGUAAAACAAUUAAAAUUUAACCAAAGAGACCUAAUUCAAUGUUUAGUCUAUUGUGGUUCCCUCAAAUGGAAAUCGUUAUCAUUAAGUGAGAUUCAAAUCCAAAAGACACCUACACCUACAACACAGUAUAACGUUGCCACUAUAUAAUAUAUAUUUCUUUAUUUUGGAAGAUUAAGACUUGUGGGGGACUAUUGGAAAUUAUAUUAAGUUUUAACUUUCAAAAUUAUUAUAUUUUAAUUUUCAGUUUUGGUUUAAUUAAAAUCUUAAUUUAUAAUAUAACAUACAAUUAAAUAUUUGAAUGGAGGUUAUGAAUUGAUUAAUUUUCAUUAGUGUGGGGUUUAAAUUGUGCACUAUAAAAAUGGAGGACACAACAUUAAAAUCACAAUUUUGAGAUACAACUAGAAAACACAACUUGAGAUCAUUGAAUCCAAAAAUAUUCUCUACAAUUUUAUAAUAUACUAUUUUGGAAAAUCAAUGAAAGACUCGUUCAAUUAUUUUCCUAUGGUCGUGCCUAUAGAAGAAGGGCCAUAUGAGUUUUAUGUUGAAGCCGUGUAAUGCUGAAAAAAUUCUCACGAAAGGAAGGUGACAUGACUUUAGAACAGCGUUCUUGCCGUGACUCCCAAAGCUCGCCAUUUCUAACUAUCCUCUUAUGUUUGCAUUCUUGUUGAAUUAUAUUACUUAUAUGUUUAUAUUUAAAAUAGUUGUGUUAAAUAAUAUGUUAUCUACACACAAAUCACCAAUUUUUCCAAUAAUCUCAUAUGUUGUUGAAGUUAAAAAUAAUAAUAAUAAUAAUAAAAAACCCAUUUUCACACUUUUUAGUGGUUAAACACUUAAAAUAAUUACUCUCGUGUAUACUCAAAGUGAACUUCUUAUUCUUCUUCUUUCCUUGUGUAUCCUCAAAUUGGAAGCAAUGUAUACACAUUAAUCAUUAUGUUGGUGGAAUUCCAAUAAUAGAGAAUUGGAGAUACAAAAAGAGAAAAUUUCAUAAGUAAGGGAUUAAUUAUGGCACAUUUCAAAAAUAAGAAAACAAGUUACAAAUUUCAAAAAUCAGAUUUUUAUUAAAAUUAUUUAUAAUUUAAUUAAUUUAGUAAUUAAAUAUAUUUAAGUCACAGAUUUAUAUAAUUUGAUUACAAAUUAACGAUUUAAUUCCUCACUUGUUCUUUUUUGUCACAAAUCAAAAUUUUAUGUCACAAAUUAUUUUACGGUUAUAAUUCAACAAUUAUAUAGGUCAUAGUUUGUUCAUCGGUUACAAAUCGAAAAAUUUAUAAGUCACGAUUUAUUUAUUGGUCACAAAUCACAAAUAUUACAUAUCACAACUUAUUAUACAAUCACAAAUUAUCAAGUUAUCGAUCACAAAUUAACAAUUUUUUAGGUCACAUAUUAAUUUUCGAUCACAAUUUAUCUUUUUCAUUGGUCACAUAUUAUUUAUUGGUCAACCAAUUCAAUAGUCACGGUCAACCAAAUAAUAAGUGACCGCCACCAACACUUACAAUUCACAGUCACAAUUUUCAGGUCACGUAUCCAAUUGUGAGUCACAAAUCAACCAAGCAGCCAUGACCACUACAACCACCGUCAUGACCAACUAUGACUUCCAAAUUGUGAGUUACAAUUGGGAGUCACAAUCACAAUUUUAAGGUCACAAGUCCAAUUAUUUGUCAAAAUCAACCAAAUCGCCACGACCACCACAACCACUUUAAUCCACCACAACUACCACCGUCACCACAAAAUCGUGUAGACCACCAAUAUUAUUCAAUUUCAUAGUUUAGUAUACUUAAUCCUUUCAAUAAAAUUAAAUUUAAUCUAACAAUCUAACAAUUAUAAAAUCAAGCAUAACUUGACAAUAAGUAACUUUUUACUUACCUUUCAAAAUUGAGGAAUUCAAGCCUAAUAAUGUAGACCACUUAAUUCCUAACACGUUGGCAAAAUUUUUUUAUUUAUUUUCCUUCUUCCUCCCUUUUUUUUUAUUUUUUUAUUUUUUUUAUUUUUUUUAUUUUUUUCUCUUUUCUCUUUCUCUCCAUUCUCGGCUUCUCUCACCUGUGUAAAUGAAAUGGAUUUGUUUUAGUUGGGACUUGGAUAAUGGAUUAAGUUUGGUGGAUAUAUAUAUUUUAUAUAUAUCCACCGUCUGCCCACUUAUUAUAUAUAUAUAUUUUUUGAAGUUUGACUUUUUUUUAAUGUAUUACAAAACUCACUCCCUUAAAAAAAUUUCGUCCUCAAAAUUCGAUCAACUAAGAUUUGAAUACCCAAAUGUACAAAGCGUACCUAAUGAAUGACUUUCUGUAAUAACCUUAACUAGACACAAUUUAUUCUUUCAUAUCUUGCAUCUUAUUUGGCUUUUCGGAGUUGAGAUCUCUAUAAUUUCAUCGAUAACCUCAAAGCACAAAUUAAAUCUAAUAUCUAUUUACUGAGCCUUAAAAAUAGACAAUACUUUCUUUAAUACCAAAUAACCGUUGUAACUUCACCAUUAAACAAGUAGGCCCAAGUUUUAAGUAACACCUCAAGGAGCAAUAUAUGAUAUUCUCAACUUUUCAUUUUACCCCGUCGUAGAAAAAUUCAAUUAUUUCCCAAUUUAAAGUUCAAGAUACGACCUUUCAUGUUACUCGAAAUCUUCACCUCCCUUUUUCUUUUCACUAUAACAAUGGUCACAUAUUAAGAUUCAAUAACUUUCUUUUGCAACUUUCAUCCCAGUAAAUAAGCUUUCGAAAUAUGUAAGCAUCAUAUAUAACCUCAAAAGAGUUAUUUGUAGCAAGUUCUAAUAUGCCAACUUCAAUUUUCACCAUUUCAAAUAAAAAUAUACCUUAAACUCCGAUGAUAGUAAGUAUUGAUGUUUUUCCAUUGCGAUGAGACCACAUUUUCUAAAUUCAACCCCAAUAUAAACAACUAUAAAUCAUGUUUUAAUCAUGCCUUUUCAACAAUCUAUAGUAUCAUCCAUAAUUUAUAAGUUUACUUCAAAAUACCUUCUAAGCCUUAAUAUAAAUCAUUAUCGUGAAUCAAUUACUUAUCAUUUUUAGAUAUAAGAGCAAAUAUUUCCUCAAAAUUUCCUAAUAGCAAAACUUUUGAUAUUUCUAUACCCAUAUAAAUUUUGUUCUUUCUUUCUAUGAAGAGAAAAUAAUAACAUUUAAUCAUGAAAAUCGAUACUCUUAUUCCAUAAAUGGGUCGUUGAUCUAUCAUCCCUAUGUAAAUGAAAUGGAUUUGUUUUAGUUGGGACUUGGGUAAUGGAUUAAGUUUGGUGGAUAUAUAUAUUUUAUAUAUAUCCACCGCCUGCCCACUUAUUAUAUCUUUUUUUUUUUUUUUUUAAAUGUAUUACAGUUUAACUCGAUUACCAUUUAUAAUGAGAAUAUAUCAAACAAAAAAAAUAUAGUAGAUCACAGGAAUUAUCUAAGGAGCAUGGUGCUCAUUUUAUGCUAAGCACCAGUGACAAUGUCAUAUAAUUUCAUUGGUGAAUUUUAAACUUAAUUCAAAUGUUGAGGCUCACCAUAUGUUUAUCCAUCAAUAUAUACUUAACAUAAUAUGAGCAUUAAUGCUUAAUAGAUCAUUCCUGUAGAAAACCAUGGGAUACGUAUAAAAAUAAUCAUAAUUUCCUUAGGAAAAUGUAUAAUGAUGGAAGAAACUCAAGCCCUCAAAACGUUCUCGAAAAUAUGAGAUUAUUGUCUCACUUUGCAAUGUCCAAUGGUAUGUGCAAAGAUUUUUCAGAUUGUAUCAGCCCUUUACUCCAAGUUACACCAAAUUUGUCGCACAAAUUUUUUACACGAAUGCAAUGCAAAAAAAACUCCUGAGUAAAAUAAAAGAGGAAAGAAAAUGGAAGAUGUUAAAGAAUAAAGACAAACUCACAGCAAGAGAUUACUGUGAAUCGCCUUUUUCAAGCUUUACAAUUUUUUCAUGGUGUUUCCUCCUGGUUUCUUGAAGUUCCAUUCCGGAAUCCUCUUCAUCCUCCAACUGUUCACGGUCUUCAAACUCCUUAGUCGCUGCUAAUGCCUUGAUAACUAGAUCCUGCAGUUCAGAAAUUAGACCACCACCGAUCAUAUACUCUUCUUCGUCCCCAAUGAAGAACAACCACUGAUCAGGUCCACCUGCCAUGGGAAUAUCAACUGCCAACAACUUCAUAUGGUGCUGCAUAAAAACAGAGAAAUAUUUGCUGAUGUAAGUAGGAGCUGAACAUUUCUAACUUCCUAUGAAAGUUAAAACUUCAAAAAAUCUAGCUCAAGUAAGUAAUCUGAUUUUACAUCUCAGAGCCAUGGGAAAGCAUCAAGUUUGGCUAGGCCUAAAACUAUGUAAAAGUAAAUUUUAAGUGAUUUUUUAUUUCCAAACAUGUUCGUAAGUCAACUUUUUUCUUAAAUGUCAAAUUCAAAAAAUUUAAUUAUUUUGAUAAAGUUUGGAGCUCAGUUAAAAGUCAUCAUAGAGGCAACCCAAUCUAACGAUCUAGGUUUAAAAGGACUACCAACCUUUGUAAGACAAUAGUUGUUUAAUUCCUAUCCAUUCUUAUGACAAGAACUUGCAUAUGUAUAUAAUAGGGUACACUUUUCUUUAAUGAUUUCUAUAAAACAAUGAAGAAAAUUGUGGAGUGAAUAAGUUUACUCAUUCUAGAAAUCACUAUGUAAGUGAGAAGAGAACUUUGUAGGUUAAAUUCUUUAAAACUACAGGUGUAUAAGGCUAAAAUAAACACAAACGCGAGGACUAUCUUUAACACAGAAAUACCACAUGACUUCUUUGUUUUGGUUUACACAAAUGACUAACAGUUCAAGAUAUCAAAUCCAUUGAUUAGUCAAAUCAGGUAGAUCUCACUGGAGAUCAAAGUCUUUAACUACUUGACCGGAGCAAAUUGUCUUCUUCUACAAACCGAACAAUAUUCUAUGUUCUAUUUUAGCCAAUUUCAUAUUCAUGAGGGGGAUUGUUGGAAACAAAUAGAGAUAAAUGAAGAAAUUGUCUUCAUUGUAGUUUCAACACCAGAACACCUAAAUUCAAUCUAUUGCAGGAAACUCCAAAAAAAAUCGCUUAGAUUGAGCUAGUCAAUGCUGCAUUCAGCAGAGUCUUCAGCAGGACAAAGGCCACAACUUCGUUUGCGACCUUUUCAAUCCCCGGUUUCUUCUCCUUUACUUCCUGCAAACUUGUCAUUGAAGAAAAUUACCUGAUCCUUUUGUACAAAGCCCUACACUUCUUCAUUCUUCAAAUUUCAUUUAUGGGGUAAGCUGCUGCGGCGCGCGACAUUUCACAUCAGAACUUUUAAAACCUGAGGUUUUUCUUUACUUAGAUCAAUGUACAACGCCGAGCUAAUAUUUUUAGAAUCAAGAAUCAUUAAUGAGGCUAUCACUAGAACUGCCUUCUAAAAUGUCAACCAUAAGUUUGUGGAAAACAAUUGAUUUACAGUUUAACGUAAACUCGUUUUCUUUAAUAUUGUUUAAGUAGAUUUCACAUAUUAGACAUUCACUCGUCUUCUUCUCACUUCAUUUCGUAUUACUUUUUCCAUUUUCUCCUCUCAAACCCUCAUUUGUUGGAGUCAUUUGAUGUCACCAAUUCAAAUUGUUACUACAGGUAUUGUUCCAUCAUUAGGAGCCAGAGAUUCAAGUAAGGAGGUUCUGGAAAUAAAUUCAUAGGCUAUCAAAAUCUUCAGCGCAGCUGGUGAGAAUUCUGACAUGUGCAGCUUGCUUCAUCCAACUGGCAUGUUGUCAUGCGCAUUUUUUCAUGUUAUGUGGAGGCUCUACGAGUGCGUGUUACAUGAAUGUGCUGCAUGUGUUUGUAACAUGCAGGUAAGUUGUGUCUGCCAUAUAUGUGCUAUCUAACAACUGACCUUGUUUGGCCAUGCUUAAAAGUUACUUCUUGAAAUAGUGAAUUUUGUAUUAGAAAAUAUUAACUUGUAAAAAUUAUGUUUUGUUCAACAAAUAAUGCUCAAGCACAACCAAACAUGCUUUAACCUUUAAGGAGAGUAGAUAAAUCUUCAGUAAAUCCAGAAACAUCAUACCAUCGUCCUUUACAACUCAGAUUAUUCUCCUACAUUACAUACAAAAAGUUUGUUAGAGGAAAGAUGGGUUUACUAACUUGAAUUGGUUAAGGCUUUUAAGAGGACAAUACUAAUAGGAAGAAGGAAGUGAAAAAAGGAAACUUGUAUUUCUCAAAUUCAAGACUUUACACACUUUUUGGCUUGUUACAGAAUGGAGGGCACUAUUCCUUUAUAUAGUAUUUACAAGAAGAUUCUAGUCCACACAUUUUCUAGAGACACCUUGACCACACAUCAAGAUAUUUUUCUAGAAUUUUCUAGAUAUUCUUUAUAUAUCUUACUUAGAUAUUUAUAUAGAUUUUUCUAGUAGAUAUUUAUAUAAAUUUUUCUAGUAGAUAUUUAUAUAGAUUUUUCUAGAUAAUACUUCUAGAAAUGCUAUGCAUGUUGGGCUUUUUAAUUGAUUUGGGCUUAUAAGCAAAAUUCUUAAGUCCAUAUUAUUUAGGCCAAAAAUCAAGUUUACUUGAUGUAGUAUGGCAGACACUUGAUGUAGCUGCAACAUAUUCAGCUUAACAUGUAGAUAGUGCUACGAUCGAUUGCUUCUUUGAGCUCCAAGUGAAAGCUGUGUUGCCCAAGUAAAACACAUACCCAGUCGUACUUUUUCUAUCAUCACUAUCUCCGCCCCAAUCGCUGUCACUAUAUCCAACAAGGUUGAACUCAUUAGAUGAUGAAUAGACUAAGCCAUAAUCAAGCGUACCUUUGAUGUAGAAAAGAAUUCUCUUUGCAGUUUUCAUAUGGGUCAUGGGAGGUGUCUCCAUAUAGCGACUAAUAAGCCCAACUCCAAAAAGGAUAUCUGGUCUUGUGCACGUCAAAUAUCUUAGAUUUCCAACAAGACUCUUAAAAAGUGUUGGAUUUACUUUUUCAUCUUCAUCAUCCUUCGACAACUUGAUUCCGCAUUUGACGGGGGUGCAUACGUGCUUACAGUCCUCUAUAUUGAAUUUCUUUAGAAUUUCUUUCGCAUAUCCUUCUUGUGAGAUGAAAAUGUAGUCCUCCAUUUGCUUUACCUCUAUCCCAAGAUAGUAGGCCAUGAGACCGAUAUCCAUCAUCUCAAAUUCUUGAGCCAUGACCUUCUUAAACUCAGUGAUCAUACUUUGAUUAUUUCUUGUGAAUAUAAGAUCAUCUACAUACAAACAAACAAGCAAAAUAUCUCAUUUCUCAUUUACCUUCGUAUAAAGGGCAUACUUGUGAGGGCAUUUUGUAAAGUCAUUUUCUAGAAAAUACUUGUCAAUUCUACUAUUCCAUGCCCUUGGAGCCUGGUUUAACCCAUAUAAAGCCUUUUUUAGUUUCAGGACUUUACCUUCGUGUCAUUUUAUUUUAUAGCCCAUUGAUUGCUUCACAUAAAUUUCUUCUUCGAGAUAGUCAUUUAGAAAUGUAGAUUUCACGUCCAUUUGGAAUAUCUUUCACUUAUUUUGCGCUACAAAAGAGAUAAUUAAUCUUAUGGUUUCUAAACGAGCAACAGGAGCAAAUACCUCUUCAUAAUCGAUUCCCGACUGUUGGUUGUAGCCUUUGGCAACCAAUCUUACUUUGUAUCUUUCUACGUCAAAUACCUCUUCAUAAUCGAUUCCCGACUGUUGGUUGUAGCCUUUGGCAACCAAUCUUACUUUGUAUCUUUCUACGUCUCCUUUAGCGUUCUUCUUUGUUUUGUACACCCACUUAACUCCGAUUGCUCUCUUUUUUUUGGAAAGAGUUGUCAGCUCCCAUGUGUCAUUUUUCUAAAUAGCCUUAAUCUCUUCAUCCAUGGCAUCUCACCAUCUUUUAUUUUGUACCGCUUCUUCAUAGCCUAUUGGUUCACAAUCGACAAAAAGACAAAAAAGUGGGAGAUCAUUUUGAUUUUCGGUUACCUCAUAUAGCUCUUGUAGGCUCCUCAUCCGUGGUGUUCUUUUGCUUGAACUUUCUCCUUGUGAAGAUGAUGGAGAAGCACCUCCAUGAGUAGGUCAUAGAGGUAGAAUGAUAAUCUCUUGCUGCUCUCCAUUCUCUUGCUCUUCUUUAUCAAAGAAUGGUAAGAAGUCAUAGUCUUCUUCUUGGACACCCCAAUCCCAAGCUCCUUCUUCAUCAAACUUGACAUCUACUUAUGGUGAUCUUCUCAUUCCUUGGAUUAUACAACUUGUAGCCUUUAGAGCGAAAAUCAUAGCCGAUGAAGACAUACCUUUCACUUUUGUCAUCUAACUUGGACCGUUUUUGAUCUGGUACAUGAGCAUAUGCAAUGUUCCCAAAUACUUGUAAGUGAGAGAUGCUAGGCUUUCUUCCACUCCAUGCUUCUUGUGGUGUCUUAUUCCACACACUUUUAGAAGGUGAUCGGUUAGACAGAUACACGGCGCAAUUAACAGCUUCAGCCCAAAGUUCUUUGGGCAAUCUCUUAUUUUUGAGCAUGUAGCGGGCCAUGUUAAGAAUGGAUCUGUUCUUUCUUUCGGCUACUCCAUUUUGUUGUGGAGAGUAUGGAACUGUCAAUAGGCGACGAAUUCCAUUCUCCUCACAAUAUUUCUCAAACUUUUUGGAGGUGAACUCUCCUCCUCUAUUCAAUCUCAAGGCUUUUAUACUAUAUCCGCUUUCUUUUUCAACAAGAGCUUUGAACUUCUUCAAAGUUUCAAAAACUUCCAAUUUUUGUUUGAGAAAAUAGACUCAAGUCUUUCUACUGAAAUCAUCAAUAAAAAGAACAAAAUAAUUGCUCUUACCGAGAGAGCUUGGAUUAAUUGGCCCACAAACAUCGGAGUGUACAAGUUCUAGUGGCUUAUUAGCUCUUGUAGAUGCUUCUUUUGGAAAACUUUUUCUCGAAUGCUUUCUAAGUAAGCAUCCUUUACAUAAUUGAUCCACAUGAUUUAUUGGAGGCAACCUUUCACAAUUUUCUUCUUACUCAACAAUUUUAAGCCUCCAAAAUUAAGAUGCCCAAAUCUCAAGUGUCAAAGUCAAGAUGAAUCUUUAAAAUAAGCUUUUAAGUAUUUAGCGACAUCAUUUUGAAUGCUUAACGCAAACAUUCUCUUUCUUGUCAUAGAGACUUUGACAAUCAAAUUUUCUCUUCGAUCUCUUAUUGAAAGACUAUGAUCUUUCAAAUGAAUAUCAUAGCCCUUUUCUAAGAGUUGUCCCAAACUUAAAAUGUUAUUCUUCAUAUUUGGCACAUAAUGGACAUUUGAGAUAAAUUGAUGCGUACCAUUUUUCAAGCGGAUCAAGAUUUUACUUUUUCCUUUCACUGGGAUCUUGGAUUUAUCUCCAAAGGUAAUGUUGCCGCUUACUAAUUCAUCAAACUCCACAAACAUGUUUUUUCUUCCACACAUAUGAUUGUUUGCUCCUGUAUCCAAAUACCAAGUAUUCUUUUCUCUGCUCUCUUCACCUUUGUAAGCCAACAGUAGUGCAGGAUCUACUUCACUUUCCCGACAAGCGUAGUUGGCUUUCUCCUCAACUUGGUUAGUAAUAUUUCUACAUUCUGAAGCACAAUGACCAAGUUUUUGACAAUUGUAACAUUUAAUUUGAGAUUUGUCAUACCUUGGUCCUUCAUUUUGUCUCGUACCUUUUCCUCUUCCGCGACCUCUGGUAGAAAAUGAACUUUGUCUUCUUUCCUCCUUGUAGAAUGCAAUUCUUCCUCGAUCUUGGCCUUGUUCUCUUCCUCUUUGGCUUCUUCUACUAUUGAACCUUCAUUCACCCUCGUUCAAAGUGAGAUUUGUUUGAAGAGCUUGCUUUAAUGACUCUUCUUUCACCUUCUUCUUUAGUCUUUCCUCAUGGGCUUGUGAAAAUCCCAUGAGUUGAUCGACACUCAUACUAUCUAGAUCUUUAGAUUCCUCAAUGGCUACAACUAUGUAGUCAAAUUUAGAAUCUAAAGACCUAAGUAUCUUUUUAAUUACUCGAGUGUCGUUCAACUUUUCUCCAUUCUUUUUUAAUUGAUUCACAAUAGCUAAUAUUCUAGAGAAGUAAUUAGAAUUUGAUUCCGAUUCUUUCAUAUGUAAAGCUUCAAACUCACCUCAAAGUGUUUGAAGUCGAACCUUUUUCACCUUCUCAACUCCUUUGUGGGAGUUUUGGAAGAUCUCUCAUACUUCCUUACUCGUAGUAGCAGAAGCUACUUUCUCGAACAUGCCUUCAAAUAAGGCUUGAUAGAUGAGGGCGAGCGCCUUCUUGUCCUUCUUCCUUGCAUCCUUCAAACUAUCCCUUUGUGCUUGGGAUAGAGCAACCUCAUCUUGUGGCUCCGUGUAGCCUUUCUCUAUGAUCUCCCAUGCAUCUUGUGACCCGAGCAAUGCUUUCAUUCUUAUACUCCAAUUGUCGUAAUUAUCCUUGUUGAGUUGGGGGACUUGAAAAGGAAUCAUCUCACUUGCCAUUUUUCACAAGAACCUUGGGGCUCUGAUACCUGUUUGUUGGAGGAAAGAUGUGUUUACUAACUUGGAUUGGCUAAGGCUUUUAAGAAGACAACACUAAUAGGAAGAAGGAAGUGAAAAAAAGGAAACUUAUAUUUCUCAAAUUCAAGACUUUACACACUUUUUGGCUUGUUACAAAAUGGAGGGCACUACCCCUUUAUAUAGUAUUUACAAGAAGAUUCUAGUCCACAUAUUUUCUAGAGGCACCUAGACCACACAUCAAGAUAUUUUUCUAGAAUUCUCUAGAUAUUCUUUAUAUAUCUUACUUAGAUAUUUAUAUAGAUUUUUCUAGUAGAUAUUUAUAUAGAUUUUUCUAGAUAAUACUUCUAGAAAUGCUAUGCAUGUUGGGCCUUUUAAUUGAUUUGAGCCUAUAAGCAAAAUCCUUAAACCCAUAUUAUUUAGUCCAAAAAGCAAGUUUACUACUCAACAAAGUUUAACUAUUGUCCAUAUUAGGGAGAACCUAAGAAAACUCAUAUGUUUCUAUAGUAACAAAAUGUCGCAGCAUAUAAUAUACUGCACUUGUACCUCCUGAUAACUAUAAAUAAUGCAACUAACAGAACAUAGUUCAACACAACAUCACCUAAAUUCAAGAGCCUAAAAAAAAUCCCAUGAAGAAAACUCCAUGAAUUGCUUAGAUAUAGCUAUUCAAUGCUUCAAUGUCUGAACACUACCUUCAGCAGGAUGCAAGCUACAAAAGGUUUUGUGAGCUUUUUAGUUACCAGUUCCUCCUCUGGUUAUGGCGAACCAAUCAGUGAACAGUUUCCUGGUCUUUUCAGUGAAUCCCUAGACUUCUUCGAUUUUCAUGAUUUCAUUGGUAGGAUUAGCUACUGCGGUGUGACAUUCUUAUUGUUGGGCCUUCCAUGUAGCCUCUUUGUAAUUACCACAUCCGAACUUUGAAAACUUUAAGUUUCUUUACUCAUAUCAUUGUAAAACUCCCAGCUUGUAUUGUAGCGUUCGAAACCAUUAAUGAGGUUAUCGCAAGAACCACCUUCCAAAACAUCCACGGCCAACAAUUGGUUUACAGGUAAACAUACACUAGUUUUCUUUUACAUUUUUGAAUUAAUUUGCGCAUAUUAUACACUCAUUUUCUUUUACUUUGUUUCCUCUUUCCUUUCUCCAUUUUCUCCUCUUAAACCCUCAUUUUUUGGAGCCGUAUGAUGUUACCAAUUCAAUUGUUACUGUUAUUAUAUUCCUCUUCCAUAGGUGUUCGAGCUUCAAGGGGAUACUGGAAAAUAAGUUGGCAAGCCAUCUUCAUCUUUAGCUGGUGGGAGGAUUCUUACAUCAUGUGCAGCCACUUAGUUCAACUGAGACAUAGUCAUGCGCAUCUGCGUGUGUUAAUGUGUAUAUGAUGCAUGUGCGGGUCCCGUGCAGGCACAAUGUGUGGAUCCUAUGUGUUCCAUCAAAUUGCAGAGCAUGUUUGGCCAUGCUUAAAAGUUCAUUCUUGACAAGAAAUAACUUUCAAGCUCAACAUAACAUCAUCACUAAUGAGAAUAAAUAUAAGAUCAGUAAACCUAAAUACAAUAGAUCAUCAUCUGUUACAACUCAGCCUAUGUUCCUCCAGUACAACCAAAAAGUACAGCUACUGUCUGCAACUUUUGAAAACUCCUGAAGUUUCUAUAAUAAUAAAAUGUCACAGCCUAUAAUACGAAACCCUUGAAUUUCCAAAUUACUAUAAACAGUGCCACUAACUAAACAUCGUUCAACAAAAGAACACCCGAAACAAUGGCCUAAUUAAAUAAAAAUCAAAUUCAGAAUACUAAAAAUUUCUUAGAUUGAGCUAUUCAAUGCUGCAUUCAGCCAACUGAAAACCACUUCAGUGACGCGAAAGGCACAACAUGGAUUGUGACCUUUUCAAGCACUGGUUUCUUCCACUCUAGUUCCUGUAAACUAGUCAGUUAUGAAAAUUUCCUAAUCCUUUUUUACAAAGCCCUAGGCUCAGCUGUUGCAGCAACAUUCUUGGUGUUACGUCUUCUAAAUGGCCUCAUUGUAAUAAUAAAAUUUGAACUUUGAAAAUCUGAGGUUUCUUUGCUCAGAUCAUGGUACCACACUAAGCUUCUUUUGUAGCAUUCAGAACCAUUAAGGAGGUUAUUCCAAGAACCGCUUUCAAAAAUGUCAACUGUAAGUGGGUGGCCAACAAUUGGUUUAGAGUUGAACAUACACUCAUUUCAUAUGAUAUUUUUAAAGUAGAUUGUACAUAUUGGAUAUACACUCAUUUGCUUCUCACUUUAUUUCAUCUUUACUAUCUCCAUUUCUCCUCUCAAACCUUUGUUGGAGUCAUUUGAUGUCACCACUUCAAUUGUUAAUUGUUACUACUAUUCUUGUUCCAUCAUUAGGUGAAGGAGCUUUACGUGGGUUCGAGAAAAUAAACUUUUAGCAUCAAAAUCUUCGGCAUGGCUGGGAAUGAUUCUUUCAACUGGCAAGUUGUCAUGAGCAUCCGUGCAUGUUAUGUGUGUUAAUGAGGUUAAAUAAGAUUAUGGAGAUCGUUGAAGAUUACAGCUUGACGUCUAUAUUAUUUUUAUAAUUGUAUUGUAUAUAGAUAGAUUGUUUAUUUUAUCAUUUAUCAAUUAUAGGUUACCGUUAGUUAAUAUUGUGAUUGAUUGCCACCAUAUUUAGAGGUGAUUUUGGUUCUAUAUAAUGAGAGAAUCUCUUACAUUGAAGGGUAUCGAGUCUUAUUGAGUAUAUUUAACAAUGUGCAGGUCUUGCGCGUGCAAGUAAUGUGAAGGUGCUAAUUGUGUUUGUUACAUACAGGUGUGACGUGUGUGCCCCGUGUGCGUCAUCAAACACCUGAGCAUGUUUUGCCAUGCUUAAAGGCUACGACUUGAAAAACUGAAUUCUGUGAUGGAAAAAAGUAACUUCCGAAAAUUAUAUUUGGUAUAACAAAUAACACUAGAGCACAACUAGACAUGCUUUAACCUUUAAUAAGACUAAAUAAAAGUCCAGUAAACCUAAAAAAUCAUAUCAUCAUCCUUUACAAAUCGUCCUAUCUUCCUACGAUACAUACAAAAUGUCCAACUAUAGUCCAUAUUAGGGAGAACCUGAGGAAACUCCUAUAGUUUCUAUAGUAUCAAAAUGUCACAUCAUAUAAUAUACAACGCUCUGCCUCCAUAUUACUAUAAAUAGUGCAACAAGCUUGAAAGUUUAAAUUUACCGAAUAGUUAAGACUCAAAUGCGAAAUUAAGCCAAUUAAAAGCAACAAGUCAUAUUAAUUUCUCCUAGAUUAUUAAGGCAAUUAAUUCAAUUAACUCCUAUAUUUAAACAAUUAUAAACAUUCAAAUCAAAACAGUAAAUAAAUAAAUAACACCAAAAAUAAGGCCACAAAACAUCAAUAAAAAAUUUUAAGUCUCCAAUGAAGAAGAUAAUAGGGCCUCAUUCUACCACCCAUAAACCAGCCCCCUAAAAUACUUAGUAUAGUAAAAAUGUUAGGUUCCACUCUGUCCAACACAAUAUAGUUAUGUUCCACACGAUAAAAUAUAGGAUGAUUAGGCUUCACAAAGUCCAACAUUAGGCAACUUUAAUUCUUAAUUCUACCCAUGCCAAGUAUUUGCAUCACAAUAUAGAUCAUUUUUGGGGGUUGGAACUACACUUUUAACUUGUUUUCAAUCUUUAAAUGCCAUACUAAUCAUCCCACGAGAUAUUAUACUUAAUUUCAAAUAAAUUUCAAGAAACAAUAUCAUACUAUUAUUAUGCGACAAGUAAAACUGAAAAAGUUAGUACUUUGGAGAAUUGUACCAUAUCCUCCACACCUGUAUAGAGGAACAUCCGGGCAACUUUGCAAGAACCUAUUGGCAUCUAGGACAUCUAUCUAGUCGAACUUUUGUGGUUGAGUACUCAUGUUACACUUGACUUUUGUGGCUGGUUGAGUGCUCAUUUUCUUUUACUUUGUUAUCUCUUACUUUCUCCAUUUUCUCUUUUUAAACCUUCAUUUUUCGGAGCCGUAUGAUGUUACCAAUUCAACUGUUACUUUUAUUCAUGUUACAUAGGUGUUUGAGCUUCAAGUAAGGGGUACUAGAAAAUAAGUUGGUAGGCCAUCUUCAUCUUUGGCUAUGGAUGAUAAUUCUAACUUCUUUCAAGCACAACAAAACAUGUGUAGGGACAUGGAGAUCUAAAAAAGGGGAUCCUAUCAACUUGUUCCGACCUAGGAUAAUAACCACAUGAGCUUGGUCUUCACCUCUAAUGAGACGAGAUAUAAGAUCAGUAAACUUAAAAACAUUCGAUCAUCAUCUGUUACAACUCAGCCAAUGCUUGUACAGUACAACCAAAAAGUAUAAUUGCAGUCUCCACCCUGAGAAAACUCCUACAGUGUCUAUAAUAAUAAAAUAUCACUGCCUAUAUUUCACAAUAUUUCAACUUCCAAAUUAUUAUAAAUAGUGCCACUGGCUAAACAUAGUUCAACAAAAGAACUCCCAAAACCAACAGCCUAAUUAAAGAAAAAUCGAUUGCAGAAAACUCAAUAAAUUUCUUAGCUUGAGCUACUCAAUGCUGCAUGCAGCCGACUAAACACCACCUUCAGCUGGCCCAAAGCCACAACUUGGAUUGUGAAUUAUCGAUUUCUUCUCCUUUAGCUCCUGCAAAAUAGUCAGUGAAGAAAAUUUCCUCAUCUUUUUUUAUGAAGCCCUAGACUUUUUUGAUUUUUGCAAUUUCAUUGUUGGGCUCAGCUGCUGUGGUGACAUUCUUAGCAUUGGGUCUUCCACAUGGCCUCAUUGUAAUAAUCAAUCUGAACUUUGAAAACAUGAGGUUUUUUUGCUCAGAUCAUGGUAAAGCAUUGAGCUUCUGUUGUAGCAUUUAGAACGAUUAAAGGGGUUAUGAUAAGAACCACCUUCCAAAAUGUCAACUGUAAGUGGGUGGCUAACAAAUGGUUUAUAGUUCAACAUACAAUCGAUUCCUUUGAUAUUUUUUUAAGUAAACUGCACAUAUUGGACAUACACUCGUUUGCUUCUCACUUCAUGAUUCAUCUUUACUUUCUCCAUUUCUUCUCUCAAACCCUUAUUUGUUGGAAUCAUUUGAUAUCACGGAUUUGACUGUUACUAUUGUUCUUGUUCCAUCAUUAGGUGAUUUCAAGUGGGUUCUGGAAAAUAAAGUUGUGGACCAUCAAUAUCUUCGAUGCGGCUGGUGAGGAUUCUGAUGUUGUGAGCAGCUUGCUUCUUUCAACUGCCACGUUGUUAUGAGCACAGUGACAAAUCCGAGAUUUUGAGUGAAAACGGGUGGUUGUCAACCACUGACCGUCGAUGGCUGCAAUAAUAACCAAUACCAUGAAUUGAAAUUAUUUAUAUAAUAGUUCUAAUUGUAAAUGUGGAUGUACAUUAUCUAUCAAUCUAAUAAUAUUUAUCAAGUAACAAUUUGAUUUCUGAAAUAUGGGCCCAAUUAUUUACAUUCUUAGUUCGAUUUGCUAAUAAUUUCAGUCUAAAAGAAAAAAAAAUGACUAUUUUAAUAAUCUCAUUGUAAGAUUGAAUUCUAGUUAAAAAAAAUUUAAAAACAGAGGGUAUAUAUCUAUUACUUGAUAAAAGAACAUAUAGAAUUUUGUUACCCAUAAUGUCAACAUUCACCAAAAAUCAUAGUGGUCAAGUGUUUCAUAAUUCCAAUGGAGAUCAUAGGUUCCAAUCUUCCAUUUGCACGGGUUUCAAUGCCAUAUUUGCUCCAUGAAAAAUAUUAAACUAAAAUAAUUGCAAAGGGGUUUGUUAGCAUUGAGAGUCAAACCCAAGAUUCCCAAGAACUACAGGACCUUUAUGUGAGUAAAAGGAAAUCACAGAUAUAUAUCCCAAAAAAAAAAAGAAAAGAAAAGAAAAUACAUUAACACCAAAAAAAAAAAAUUGAAUACAGGUGAAUCUAGCAUGGGUUGCCACGCUUGCCAGGUGCUGGAUCUAUUACUGCAUGAGCAUUUGUGCAAUUUAUGUACAAGCGCUACAUGUAUGUGUAAUGUGAAGGUGCUGCAUGUAUUUGUUGCACAGAGAUGUGACGUGUGUGCCCUAUGUGCUUCACCAAACACCUAAGCAUGUUUUGCCAUUCUUGAAAGCUAGUUCUUGAAAAAUUUGAAUUUUGUGAUUAAAAUAAGUAACUUCCGAAAAUUAUGUUUUGGUAUAACAAAUAACACUCAAGCACAGCCAGACAUGCUUUAACCUCUAUUAAGACUAGAUAAAAGUUCAGUAAACCUAAAACCAUCAUAUCAUCAUCCUUUACAAAUCAUUCAAUGUUCCUAUGGUACAUACAAAAAGUCUAACUAUAGUCUGUUGUGAAAGCUUGCUCCAAAAUCUUCGAUUUGGUGAUUCAGUUUUAUGUUACCUUUUUCUACCAACUCAACCCAUAACCAAUAUAUUUAACCCGAUUGCUUCUUAAUCUCACCUACAAGAGAGAAGAUAAUUGGUGUUGAUUUGUAGCCACAAAUGCAAUAAGAAAGCAAGGAAUAAGGCACAAGAAGGAAACCAAAAUCAAGUAGGCAACCAUUGUAUUUGGAGCACAAAGCAAACAAUUUUCUUCCUAUUCUUUCUCUAUUUGCAGCCACGUUUUCUUCUCUAAUUCACACAAACACACACAAAAUGGAAGGGGCUAGACAACCAUAUAUAUAGAUAUAGGUUAGGCUCUAGUUGGACCAAGAGAGGGGUUAAAUGGGCUAAGAUUCAAGAGCCGUCCAAUAGGUGAAUAUAUUGACCAUGAGCAACAUUAAAUCCUUAAGCUAUUUUCAACGAUCCAUGCUAUCUUAAUUGUUGAUAACUAAUUCACCCAUUGGCCAAGGCAUUAGAAAUUUAAUCCGAACCGUUUAACAUCAUCGUCCAAGAUUUACUGGGUAUCAAAAUCCAACAUAGUCCAUAUUAGGAAGAAUGAAAGGGAGCUCCUAUAGUUUCUCUAGUAAUGAAAUGUCGCAGCAUAUAAUAUACAACACUCUACCUCCAUAUUACUAUAAAAUGGUGCAACUAACUGAACAUAGUUCAACAAAAGAACAACAAAAGUCAACAGCCUAAUUUAACAAAAAUCUCAUGAAGAAAACUCCAUAAAUUGCUUAGGUUGAGCUAAUCAAUGCUUCGCCAUCAGAACACCACCUUCAAUGUGACGCUCUACAUAUCUGUUCACCGGGUUCUCCCCUCUGGUUCCGGCAAACUAGUAAGUGAAGAUAAUUACCUGGUCUUCUUUGAAUAAUCCUUUUAUUCUUUUAUUUUUGUGUUUUCACUGAUAGGAUCAGCUACUGCGACAUGACAUUCUUAUUAUUGAGCCUUCUACUUAGCCUCUUUGUAACAGCCACAUCUGAACUAUAAAAACUUUCAUUACUCAGAUCAUGUUAAAACUCCUGGCUGCCACUGUUGUACUGACACACCCCGCCCCUUAUAACAUCACUAGAUUCGGAUGUGACAUGUGCCGAUGAUAGAUACCAACUAAAAGUCGGACUCACCAUUAAAGCUACUACAAAUACAAUAUAUCACUUUUAUACGUCAUUUUUAUAAUAGAAUUUCGGCAUUAUCUCCCUUGUAAACAGGACUAACCAACCUGUGAUCAAUUUCACACAAAUCCCAAACUAUAGCACAGCAAAAUAAAGAUAAGCCGAAAUCUCAAUCUUUACCAAGAAAUAAAAUGAAAUAUACAUAUGGAUACAAAAUACAUAGUGAGCCCCAUAACUAUUUACAAGUGAUGCAAAAUCACAUCUAGACAUGAACAUGCGUUCCAAAACACUGACUACAUAGUCUAUGAAGUGAGUCAUACUAACAAACUCUGUUGUAUGGCUUUGAUUCCAAAAUCAAGGCUCAACUUCAAAAGAUGUCCAGAUUCUCAACUGUUGCCUGAUAAGGAAAAAUGUGGAAAAACAUAUGAGUUGAUAGCUCAGUGAGUGGAGAAGUUCAAAAUAAAUAUACUUUUUCAUUUAUACAUUUUUAUUGAAAAUAAAAUUCAUAUCAUUUGAUAAUUCACAAGCUACCAUCAUGUAAUUAUAGCCAAAAAGUGAGACAUUCACGUAAAGUCAUAGAAUAUCAUCUUAAAAUCAUGAUAUAAUAUCAGCUAAUAACCAUGCUAUAAUCUCAUCACAUCAAACAUGUUGAAAAUCCACAAAAAAUGUACCCUCUGACUGAAAUAUAAAAUCUGUCCCUCGGGCUAAGAACUUUCGCCACGAGCUUUUGGCCCCCUCCGUGAACGAAAUUCGGUCUCGAAGACCUCUCAUGAUCAAUUCUAUAACACGGCCAAGGUCCCUCUGUGAACUAUAUGUACACGAUCGAGACCAAUGUCAGGUCAAGACCCUUCGUGUAGGAUAGAACACGACCAAGGCCACUCUGUGAACUAGAAGAAGUAUAUAAUCAUAGGUACUUUUCUGGCUGAUCUCAAUAUCACGUCUCACAUACCAAACAAAUCUCAAUAUCACAUGUCUCAUAUAACAAGUCACAAACGUACAAUAAAUAAUCCUUGAAAUUCUACAUGUAUCAUAAUAAUAAUAUUUCCAUAAUAACCAUGUGAUUCGAACACAUAAUUGCAUAUAAUUGUACAUACUUUAAAAAUAUACUUAAUUUAUAAAUAUUUAAAAAAUAUUUAUAUUUUUCUACUCACAGAACUAUGUAUGUGAAAAUCAGCUCAAUUGGUACGCUGUUCCGAUAUCCGUAUCGCCACUUGAAAUAUGAUAUCAUUUUUAGAUCAACAAUUAACUAUUUUAAUAAGUUUCAUUAAUUAAAUAGGCUAUACCCAAACUUAAUUAUUUUACGUUUAGGCGAUUUCUAAAGUCUCUUUAAUUACUAAAACUAAAUUCUCUUUCAUUUUACUCAAUUUCAUAGUUUAUUAUACUUAACCUCUUCAAUAAAAUUAAAUUUAAUCUAACAAUCUAACAACUAUAAAAUCAAACAUAACCUUUCAAUAAGUAACUUUUUACUUAUUUUUCAAAAUUGAGGAAUUCAAGCCUAAUAGGAUAUAGCACUUAAUUUCUAACACGUUGGCAAAUUUCCCCCCUUUUUUUCUUCCUCUUUUCCUUUUUUUUUUCCUUUCUUUCUCCUUGUUUCUAUUUCUUUCUGCAUGUUUAUACGUUAUCAAAUGGUUUUGGAUAGAUAUAUAAUGAAUUGGUUUGAGUUCCACCGCCUGCCACACUUUGGUUUUGUCUUUUGUCAUUUUUUUUGUUUGACUUUUCUUCGUUUUUUGUUUUGUUUUUGUUUUGUUUAAUGUAUUACAAAACUCACCUCCUUAAAAGAAUUUCGUCCUCGAAAUUUAAGUGAUCAUGUAUGAAAAAGUCGUGGAUACUAAGAACGCAUCUGCUCUUCGCUUUUCCAUGUCACUUUUUCUACAGCAUGAUUUCUCCAUAAAACUUUAAUCAAGGAAAUAGUCUUACUACGCAAGACCUGUUCCUUCCUGUCCAAUAUCUAAACUGGUUCUUCUUCAUAGGUAAGAUUUUCCUUUAGUUCUACUGAUUGUGAUUCCAAAACAUGAGAUGGAUCUGGAAUAUACUUACGAAGCAUGGACAUAUGGAAUACAUCAUGAAUUUUGGACAAUUCUGUUGGCAAAGCCAAUCGAUACGCAACUGGACCGAUGCGUUCAACAAUCUUAUACGGGCCAAUAUACCUCGAACUCAAUUUACCUCGUUUACCAAAUCUUAUAACAACUUUCCAUGGCGACAAUCGCAGGAAAAAUCUAUCCCCAACAUCAAAUUCAAGGUUUCUUCUACAUCUAUCUGUAUAGUUCUUCUGUCUGUCUUGGGCUGUCUUUAACUUUUCUUUAAUUAUCUCUACUUUCUCAGCAGUAAUCCGGACAUAUUCAGGACCCAAUAACUUUCUUUCACCAACUUCAUCCCAACUUACUGGAGUUCUGUAUUUCCUACCAUAUAGUGCUUCAAAAGGAGCCAUUUCUAUACUCGAAUGAUAACUGUUAUUAUAAGAAAACUCCAUCAAAGAAAGAUGAGCAUACCAAUUCCCUUUGAACUGUAGUACGCAAGCUCGUAACAUGUCUUUCAAAGUUUGAAUAGUUCUUUUUGACUGACCAUCUGUUUGAGGAUGAAAAGUUGUACUGAAAUGAAGUUUAGUACCCAUAACUUUCUCUAAACUGGGCUAAAAUUUAGAAGUGAAAUGAGAAUCUCUAUCUGAAACAAUAGAUACUGGUGCCCCAUAUAAACUGAUUAUUUCAUCAACACAUAUUUUUACCAAUUUAUCUAAGGAGUAAGUGACUUUAAUAGGCAAAAAUCAAGCAGUCUACGUCAAUCUGUCUACAAUGAUCCAUAUGCCAUCAUGUCCACUCUGAAUCCGUGGAAAUCCAAAUAGAAAAUCCAUAGUAAUGUGUUCCCAUUUUCACUCAGAAAUAGGCAAUGUUUGUAACAAUCUCGCUAUUUUCUGAUGAUUUGGUUUCACUUGCUGGCAAAUGAGACAUUUGAAUACAAACUCAGCUAUUUCUUUCUUCAUUCUAUGCCACCAGUAGUGUUCUUUGAGUAUAAGAUACAUUUUUGUACUACCUAGAUGCAUCGCAUAAGCUGAACUAUGUACCUCUUCUAGAAUUUCUCCCUUCAAUUUUGAAUCAUCUGGAACACAUAAUCUGUUUCCCAUAACUAAAGCUCCGUCAUCUCGAAUGGUAUAAUCUGUAUGCUUACCUUUACUAACUUUUCUUUCAAUUUGCUCAACAUUGGAUCUUGAGUUUGAGUUUCUUUAAUUGUGUCAAUCAAAGUAGGCCUCACUUGGAAGUUGGCAAACAAUGCUCCUACACUGGUAACUGAUAAUUGGGCAUGAGAAGCUCUGAACUCACCAAACAAAGAUGAACAUACUGCAUUAGUCUGGAUCAUAGGACUCGAUAUUUUUCGACUGAGAGCUUUAGCAACUACAUUAGCCUUCCCUAGAUGAUAAUCAAUCUUGCAGUCAUAAUCUUUUAUCAGCUUUAAUCAUCUUCUUUGCUUCAAGUUUAACUCUUUUUGAUUGAAAAUAUACUUUAAGCUUUUAUGAUCUGUGUAAAUCUGGCAUCUCUCACCAUACAAGUAAUGUCUCCAAAUUUUCAAGGUUAAGACAACUGCAGCUAGCUCUAAGUCAUGUGUAGGAUAACUUAGUUCAUGUUCCUUCAACUGCCUGGAAGCAUACGCUAUAACUUUCUCAUUCUGCAUCAAAACACAACCAAGACCUUGACGUGAAGCAUCACUAUAUAUCACAAACUCUUCACUAGGAGAUGGAAGGGUAAGAACUGGAGCUGACACUAAUCUAUUCUUUAAUUCGAGGAAACUUCUUUCACAAUUUUCAUUCCAAACAAAUUUAGCAUUCUUUCUAGUCAAACUGGUCAAAGGCAGAGCAAUUUUAGAAAAUCCCUCUACAAAACGACGAUAAUAACCUGCUAAGCCAAGAAAACUUUGUAUUUCUGUUACAUUAGUAGGCCUUUCCCAUUUUACCACUGCCUCUAUUUUUUGCGAGUUAACAUAAAUUCCUUCUGCUGAUAUGACAUGUCCCAAAAAUACAACUUUAUCAAACCAGAAUUCACAUUUACUGAAUUUAGCAUACAAUUGCUCAUCAAGUAGAGUCUGUAAGAUGAUUCUGAGAUGCUCUGUGUGCUCAUCAUGAUCACGAGAGUAUACUAAAAUAUCAUCAAUGAAUACAAUCAUAAAUCUGUCUAAAUACGAACGAAACACUCUAUUCAUCAUAUCCAUAAAUGUUGCUGGUGCAUUGGUCAGCCCAAAUGGCAUCACAAGAAAUUCAAAAUGACCAUAUAUUGUCCUGAAAGCAGUUUUUGGCACAUCACUAUCCCUAAUUUUAAGUUGAUGAUAUCCAGAACGCAAAUCAAUCUUUGAAAAUACUGUAGCAUCGCGAAGCUAAUCGAACAGAUCAUCAAUACGUGGUAAAGGAUAUUUAUUGUGAAUUGUCAUCUUGUUCAAUUGUCUAUAAUCUAUGCACAGUCACAUGAUGCCAUCUUUCUUUUUCACAAACAAAACUGGUGCUCCCCAUGGAGAUAUAUUAGGUCUGAUGAAACCUUUGUCUACCAACUCUUGCAACUGAACCUUUCGCUCUUUCAAUUCUGCUGGUGCCAUUCUAUAGGGUGCCUGUGAAAUAGGUGCAGUUUCUGGAAUCAGAUCUAUAGUGAACUCCAUAUCUCUGUCUGAUGGUAAGCCUGGUAAUUCUUUUGGAAAUACAUCAGGAAAGUCCUUGACCACUGGGAUAUCUUCAAGUUUUAGUUUGCUAACAUCUGUAUCAAUUACAUGAGCUAAAUAUACAUGGCAACCCUUGUUUAGUAAUCUUCUAGCGUUAAUAGCAGAUAUCACACAAGAAGGUAAAAUUCUGUGUUGUCCAUUGAAUAUAACUUCAGGCUGUCCUGGCUGUCGAAACACAACUUCCUUUCGAAAAUAAUCAACUGAAGCUCGACUUGUUGUCAGAAAAUCCAUACCUAGGAUAAUACUGAAAUCAUGUAUGUCAAGAGGUAUUAAAUUUGCCUUGAGCUCGUUCUCCUUUACCUUAAUCCCACAAUCUCGAUAUAUAUUGUUUGCUAAUAGUGAUUCUCCUACUGGUGUAUUCACUACCAAAAACUGCCUAAAAGUUUUGGCUUUUGAUUCGCAUAUAAAGCAAAUGCAAAUGACGUAAAAGAAUGUAUAGAUCCAGGUUUAAUCAAAAUACGAGCAUUUCUAUCAAAAAUUGGCAACAUACCCAUGAUAACAUCUGGUGACUCCUCUGCUGUUUGUUGAGUCAUAGCAAAAACUUUGCACUGGGCCUUUGGUCGUCCUGCCUGCCCUUUUGGUUUUGUGCCACUACCACUUGCGAUAUUAGAUUGGGCGAUAUUAGAUUGGGCCUUACUGUUUGUGCCUGCUCUGUUAGCUGAAUCAUUUCUCCGAGUCUGAUUCUAUCUUGUACUACCAGCACUUUGCUGAGGGAACAUCCUUUGUGUCAUGCCACCCUCCUGGAAUAUAAUUGGGCAAUUCCUUUUCAGAUGCCCUUCUUGGCCACAACGAUAGCAAACACCAACUCCCUUGAACUUUAAAUACUCUCCAGGAUGAGAUCUUCUACAUAAUUGUCAAGAAGAAAAUCUGGCACUAGUAGAACUCUUUCCUUGUCUCGGAGUAAAUGAUCUCUUGGAAGAACCCUGAGUAUAAUUACGAUUGGCCAAUGACUGCUAUACAGUAUUGGGACUGAAUCUAGGACCCUGACUUCCUCGAAAUCGAGAUUUGAAUUGACCUGAACUGGACACACCAGGUCGAAAUCCUCUACUGUCCUUCCGUAGUGGUUUAUAGCUAGAAGCACUUGCCAUUGUCUGACUACCGCUCGCUCUAAACAUUGUUUGUUCUCUACCACUUGACCUAUCGGAAAUGUUCUUUUCUACUCUCAAAGCUGAUUCCACCAAUUUGCCAAAUACAUUCCAGCCUGCAACUGUUACUACGAUCAGAUUUCUUCUCUUAACCCAUUUUCAAAUCGUCUACAUUUAUCAAUUUCGUUGCUUACUAGAACUUGGGCAUACUUUGAAAGUUCAAUAAAUUUCACCUCAUAUUCUGCAACUAUCAUCUACCCUUGCACUAGUUUCAAAAAUUCCUCCUGCCUUGCAUCUUUAUAGGACUAAGGAUAAUAGGCAUCGUAAAAGAUACGACGAAAAUCUAUCCAAGUAAUGAUGGAAGGGUCUAGAUAUGUGCUCCAUACUGACUGCUACCAAUCAUACGUACCCUCCUCUAAUAAGAAGGUGGCAAGACACAACUUUCGAUCGUCUGAGCAACCCAUAAUGUCAAAUACCAUCUCUAUCUUGGUCAUCCAUGCUUGUGCAACUACAGGAUCGGCUGUGCCAGUGAACACUUUAGCUCUUAACAUUGUGGCCCUUUCAAUACUAAAAUCUCUGCUAGUAUUACGCAUAGCAGAUGUAACGGCAAUAACAAUUCUUUCAAUAGCAAUAGGAUCAGUUCCAAUCAUAUUUCUCUGUCCCUAUUGUUCAGGAGGCUGGUGAACUGAUUCAUCUACUCUCUCGGGCUUUCUCAGUUCAUCUCUAUCAUGAGAAAUGUGAGACUGGGGCAACAUAUCUUGGAGCCUUCGAGUUUUGCCACCACGAGACUUGACUCACCUACAAUUAUGCAUGAUAUGUUAAACAUCAGAAUGUAUGCAUGUACAAUGCAAACCCAUGAACUCUAAUGCAUGCUCUGAUACCAAAUUGACACACCCCGUCCCGUAUAACACAACUAGAUUCGAACGUGGCAUGCGUCGAUGAUAGAUACCAACUAAAAGUUGGACCUACCAUUAAGGCUACUACAAAUACAAUAUAUCACUUUUAUACGUCAUUUUUCUAAUAGAAUUUCGGCAUUAUCUCCCUUGUAAACAUGAAUAACCAAUCUGUGAUCAAUUUCACACAAAUCCCAAACUAUAGCACAUCACAAUAAAGAUAAGCCGAAAUCUCAAUCUUUACCAAGAAAUAAAAUAAAAUAUACAUAUGGAUACAAAAUACAUAGUGAGCCCCAUAACUAUUCACAAGUGAUGCAAAAUCACAUCUAGACAUGAACAUACGUUCUAAAACACUGACUAUAUGGUCUAUGAAGUGAGUCAUACUAACAAACUCUGUUGUGUGGUUUUGACUCCAAAAUCAAAGCUCAACUCCAAAAGAUGCCCAGAUUCUCAAAUGUUGCUUGAUAAGGAAAACUGUGGAAAAAUAUAUGAGUUGAUAGCUCAGUGAGUGGAGAAGUUCAAAAUAAAUAUUCUUUUUUAUUUAUAUAUUUUUAUUGAAAAUAAAAUUCAUAUCACUUGUUACUGAUCAUGAGGCCUUGAAGUACAUCAAUGGUCAACACAAGCUGAGUAGGCGACAUGCAAAGUACUUGCACGAGUUUACUUUCACACUAAGGCAUCAAACAUGGAGUUUGAAUCGAGUAGCAGAUGCAUUGAGCUGUCGCACAUUACUCCUCACCACCAUGAGCACCAAGAUUAUCGGAUUUUAGGCAUUUUCUGAUAUGUAUGCUGUAGAUCCUUCAUUUGGGAAGAUAAUUCGGGAGGUAACUAAUAAUCACCGACAUGAUUUUGUUUUACAUAAUGGUUACCUGUUUCGUGGAUUGCAGUUAUGCAUUCCGGAUUGUUCACUAUGGCAGCAGAUUAUUAGUGAACUUCAUAACAAAGGACAUUUUGGGCGAGACAAGGCAUUGGCAUUGGUCUCUUCUGAUUAUUAUUGGCCCAAGUUGAGCAGUGAUGUAGCGCAUUAUAUGGAGCGGUGUUAUGUAUGUCAGCGGUCUAAAUGGGCUCUUACUAAUGCUGGAUUGUACGCACCAUUACCCGUACCUGAAGCUCCUUGGUUUGAUAUCAGUAUGGAUUUUGUCAUGGGCUUACCUCGUACACAACGGGCGAUGGAUUCCAUUCUUGUUGUGGUUGAUAGAUUUUCAAAGAUGGCUCAUUUUGUGGCUUGUCGGAAGACAAUGGGUGCUACUCGGAUUGCUUAUCUUUAUUUCAGAGAGAUUGUGCGUUUACAUAGUGUUCCACAGUCAAUUACUUCUGACCCUGACACUAAGUUUAUGAGUCAUUUCUGGAGGAGUUCGUGGGAGAAACUUGGAAUGAAGUUGAAUUUUAGCAGCGCAUACCAUCCUCAAACAGAUGGUCAGACUGAGGUGGUGAAUCGGAGUUUGAGAAAUCUUUUGAGAAGCUUGGCAGGGACUAAACCGAAGUAGUGGGAUUUGGCAUUACCUCAAGUAGAGUUUGCUUAUAA